RNAcentral lists this long non-coding RNA (79620 nucleotides) under Podarcis lilfordi (Lilford's wall lizard). The record is from RNAcentral. Lineage: Eukaryota; Metazoa; Chordata; Lepidosauria; Squamata; Lacertidae.
CUUUAUCUGGCUACUGGAACAGAGAUGCUAGACUUUGCUCCCUGCCAAAGAAAGCAACUCAACUGGCACCAGCAACCCUCUUCAGCAGGCUGGAGUGACCAGCUUCAAAUACCAACGUGAAAGUGGGUGAGAGGGCUGGUUCAGCAGAAUGUUCGAGGGUCAAUUCUGCCAUUUCUAGUUAGGGUUCCCAACUGAAACCCUUGAGAGCUGCUGCCAGUCCGUGCAGACAGUACUGAGCUAGAUGGGCCAGAGGUCAGAUUCAGUAUAAGGCAGCUUCCUGCGGUCCUGUGAUGGCAAGAUUUGGGGUCUGAAUGGUGCAGCAAGUCUCUCCCUCCUUCCUUCCCUCCCUCCCUCUAAGUGACAUAGCAAGGGUGUAGCGUUUGGGCUGCACCAACAGUUUUGCCAUGAAGUACCCCAAGUACAAAUGGCUGUGCUUAAGUUUCGGGAUCCAAAUUUAGUUGAACACUUUUUGUGUCCUCUUUGUGCACAGCCUAGUUGUGGCCAGGGAAAUAAUUUCCCCAGGAAUAUAGCAGGUGAGAGUUUUCCUGCAAAGUGACAUAUAAAAUACUACUACUACUACUACUACUACUACUACUACUAAUAUCCUUCUCAGGGACGCGGGUGGCUCUGUGGGUUAAACCACAGAGCCUAGGACUUGCCGAUCAGAAGGUUGGCAGUUCGAAUCCCCACGACAGGGUGAGCUCCCGUUGCUCGGUCCCUGCUCCUGCCAACCUAGCAGUUCGAAAGCACGUCAAAGUGCAAGUAGAUAAAUAGGUACCACUCCGGUGGGAAGGUAAAUGGUGUUUCCGUGCGCUGCUCUGGUUCGCCAGAAGCGGUUUAGUCAUGCUGGCCACAUGACCCGGAAGCUAUACGCUGGCUCCCUCGGCCAAUAAAACGAGAUGAGGGCCGCAACCCCAGAGUCAUCUGUGACUGGACCUAAUGGUCAGGGGUCCCUUUACCCUUUAUCCUUCUCUAUUCUCCCUCCAGUCAACCUAAAGGCAUUAUCAGGGUCUAGGGCAUAUUGCAGCCAGACAAGAACACUUGUGGCAUAAAGCAAGGCCUGUGUUGGGCAUGGCUUGUGGAAACUCCCGAGGGCCAAACAGAGAGGGCUGGAGGCCGCAACCCUGAGGUUCCCCACCUUUUCUAUGUCCUUGUUUGAAGUGCUCCAAGCUUUCUCUACUCUCCUUCAAGAUCUGCUUCUGGCCCUUUGUCUAAACCUAUCAGCUUCCAAUUCUAUUUUAUCCCCUGUUUUGAUGCACUUCGCUUUCAUGACCGUGCUUUAAUAGGUGCCACAGUUUGCAAGGCUGCAACCUCAGCAGAUGCUACAUUUUAUUCUCUCACAAACUCUGAGUCACCAUUCGGAGAAGCCAAAGGGAACACGUUGGGGAGCAAAAGUUGUUCCAGAUUGUAGGAAACAUUUGGCUAACAGAUAUGUUAAGAAUCAGACUUUCCUGCAAUAGGAGUCUUACCCCCUUAUGGGUUCCCUCCCCUUUGCCUAUCAACACAAAUAGUUUUGUCCAACUUCUGAUUAUUUCAUCACUUCUCUGCUGUGUUUGCUCAGCUGUGCUGCCACUUUGCUUUGCAAAGUUUAGUAGCUACCAACUUCAGCCAGCUUGCAUAGACAAGAGGAGGUCUCACACGGUUUUAUAUCAUACUCUUGCUAUGACAUACCUAGUGCAUGGCAUGUACAUUAGCUGCAGACAAGCAUCCAAAAUGCCUCUUUAAGUAACAUUUAUAUUCAAGCAGACCAAGACCAAAAUAAAAAUAAAAACAACCAAUUUGACAUUCUUACUGAAGAAUGGUGCAAACCAUGAACUGACUCAGGUCGAAAAGUAUUUAUUAAAACAAAGCUCAUUGCAAGAAAAACAUGUAUAUCCUUUGGUUUUGGAUUUCUAGGCCAUCAUAAUCUGUAAUUUGGACAUGGGCAACAAAGAGUGUAUGAGGCAUGUAUAAAUCCCAAAGCAUUUUUACUUGGUCCAUUGUCUUUUGUUGAGGAGGAUCCCAUCAGUCAAACAAUGGCCAUAUGGUUUGAUUGCAUAAAUAUCCCGGUUCAAUCACUGAUAAUUCUACUUAAAAGUAUCAGAGGGCCAAAUGAAGUAGGAAGUUAAAUGCAAAUUUGCACUUAAUGUGUGCAAGAUGCAAAUGAUUUCAGCUGUGGGUGCGGGUGGUAAUUGUAGAGAUCACAAUAAGUGUUUGUGUGGGGGGAAUUUAACACUUUCCUAUCCUGCUGUGGUCCUUUCAAAGCUCACUCCUUCUUAAACUGGUCUUUUCAUUGCAAGGAUAUUCUAGUUUAGCAACAAAAGGGAAUUCCCUUUAAAGGGGCAAUUUUUAUCAGGCAGCAUAAGGGAAGGGAAGGGUUAAAACUCCUUCCCUACUUCUAGCACUCAUGAUAACGAUCCCCCAGCAGAUUCUACUUGCAUUUUUAAAAGAAAUAAAGACAACUGUUGACAUUAUAUAUAAAUACACAAUUGAAGUUUCAUUUUCUAGUUUGGCCAUUCACAUAUUCAUGCUCUGUAAGAGCUCUGGGAUUCCCAUAUUCCUUAUUUUAAAAUGGAGGACUGACUCAUCCUUUUACAUCUUUAGUGUGUAUCUUUACUAAAAAUAUAGUGUGUAGUGCUGUUAUGAGUACAUACCAUGUGUGGUUCCUGGUUGUGGGGAUUAAAAACAUAUCCACACAUUUCUGAAGUCAGAUUAUUCCAUGUGCACCUAGUUGCUGUAAUCCACAUCACAAAUCUAUGGGCUCUGACAGAUUACUAGGGUAGCUUCUAAUCCAGAGAUAUUUAGACCCAUUUAAACAAGUGCAACUUACUUUAUUCUUUUAUUCAUUUAAAAUAGUUCAGACUUAAUAAUGUCAAUAAAAUGUCAGUGCUAGCUCACUUUCUCUGGCUUGAGCUCACUGUAGUUUAUGCAUAUGAUUUCUGACGUGGUUAUUGGGAAUUUUGCAAAGCAAAAUGGUGGAAACAAAAAGGAUUCAUAUAGACACCUAUACAUUGUAGUUAUAUUUCUCUCAUUUGUUCCCCAAUAAAAAACACCCAGUAAAAUCUUUCAGACAUACCUGAAAGAUUCCAGUUACUAUAAAAGUUCAUAAAACAGUCAUAAUUUCCACAUUGUUCCCCAAUUUUGGGCCUUGCAGGGUUUCAUUGUUCUUUGGGGGAUGUUGCUUUGAACCAUAAGUUUUCCAUUUCUUUCGUACUUACUUCAGAAGGAAUGGCCUUUCGAAAACUAUAUGUCAGUAUCUCCAAUAUAUGACUACCAUUUCAACUCCCAAAGGUGCCAUUUUUUAAAUAGUCUUGCAAGUGUCAUUGCUCAAAUCUACACCACACACACACACACAUACUUUGCUUCAAAAUUUGCCACAGUUUGCAUUAACAAGGAUGAAAUAAUUGUGGGACUAGUGCUUUUUCUUUAGAUUUAAGACUAAAACUAGUAUGGGGAAAAUAAAUGAAAGAGAAUGGUUUUACCAAACUAGAUUAUUUUAUGUAUAAAUAAAAAUGUUUCUUUCUGUUCAUUUUAGGAGUAUGGUGAAGCCAACUGUGAUUGCUUCCAACUUGCCAUGUUUAAUACUUGGUAUCCGUCUCAGAUAGAUCCAUUCUUACCUACCUCUUCCAUCACUUUUCUCCAUAUGUAUAAGCUAAGCAUAAUGUAAGUGGAGUGGUUAAUAUGCAUAACUCCCGGCCCUUGUGCGCAUUCCCCAUGGUCAUGCAGCAUUCUCAUGGAGAAUGUUCACGUAAUCUAUCCAUGAAGAUGUAAUUGGUUGAUAUACAUAUGGAGAGCUGCUACCAAUCCAUGUCAACAAUACUGAGAUAGAUGGUCCUAUGGUCUCAGUAUAAGGCAGCUUCCUGUGUUGUGAGGAAACCAUUGUUCCCCUCUCAGACCUAAAAUUCCCAGAGUGGUUUACCGAUCAACCCAGGGAACUCUUGGAACUGUAGCUCUGUGAGGGGAACAAGGGUAUCCUACCAACUUUCAGAACCCUUAAUAAACUACAGUUCCGAGGAUUCUUGGGGGGGACAACCAUAAUUGUUUAAUGUGAAUUCAUAUGUAUGUAUAGUGCAUAUAUGACCAUCAUCUAACCUCCCCAUAAACAAAUACAAAUAAAUUCUCCUUAAAUAGCCAGCAUUGUCAUAUCUGCCUGGAAACAAAUCAAGAUGAAUGCUCAGUAAACAGGUCAUCUGGAACUACCCUGUGCUAGAUAUGUUCUAGAUUUAGCAUCUAAAGAAUGAGUGGCAUAUAUAUGAAGAUAUACCUCCCAUAGUAGUAGAUACACUUAGUCUUAUGUAUGAAAUGCCUUUUUCAAAUGUUUUGGUUGCUUGGGACAUGUAUUUUUAAUGUAAAAUUGCUUUUAAUCUGGUAUCAUUUUGUCAUCUGCAUCAGAAAGGUAAAGAGUUCAGUGGCGUUGUCUUUGAAAAGAAUUACAUAGCUCGAUAUCAGAUUUAUUGGCUAAGUGUUAUUAACAAUAGUCUUGAGACCAGAUCUGUUUAAUUUCUGUCAUAUAGGAAUCUGAAUACUUAAAGCCUACUGUAAGGCCAAAUGGACUAUCCAGUGUUUAGAAAUCGUCUGACACAAAUCUAGCAGCUGGGAAUAAUCAGAUAGCACUGUGGGCUGAACAUGCAUGUAACCCAAGUUCUCCCAGGAGAGGGGCUUCUAACGGGGCUACUGAACGCAUGAGUGUUAAAGUUGGUUCACUUUUCUUUAAAACAAAAUACAUUCCAAAUAUAUGUCAGACCCCCAGCUGUUUUUUUUUUCCAGAGGGAGACUGUUGAGUUGACAGACAAACAGAAAUAUGAAAAGAAUAAGAGUGAUGGAAUGUUAUAAUAAUAUCAAGAUGCUUUAGAUGUGUAUUGCUCACAAUUCUCAUACUAUACCGUAUCUUUCUCCAUUUCUGUUUCGACAAUAAGCUUUGCAUGGCUGAGAUCAUUCUUCGGUUGCUGAUAAACUCUAUACAGAGUGCCACAGGAACGGCUGAAUCAAUCUAUAACAAGGCUAGGCCAUUUUGUAUGGGUCCACAAAUCAGCCCAUUCCAUCCUGUUUAUGCAUUGGGUUUUUGUUUUUAAAAAUCUGCAUAGAAAUUCAAAUUUAAGUUCUUUUUUAAAGAUGCAUUUUUAUUUUAUGUAAAUCAGUAAGUAUUGUUUUAAAUUGUACUUGGAUAUGCUGUUUUUCAGUAUUAGGUCUGCAUCAGAGCAAACUCCAGUGGAUAACUAAGAUCCAGACUGCCCAUUAAUCCAAGAAGGAAGGAUCAGGUAAGUUCAGAAUUUUCAGAGCUCAAAUUAUACCAUUAUCUCUAGGAUGAAGCUACAAUGGGCAAUUUCCUUUAGCAAUAAAUGGGUUUGAUUACUAUUCUUUCAACCUUUGCAGUGAAAGGGAAUAUGAGGCCGCUAUCUUAAAACACGUUCAGAAUCCUCACCUCCAGUGCAUCUACAUUUCUUUCCAGUGUUAACAGUUUGAUAAUAAAGAGUACAUCACAUGAGUUGAUGCCACGGUGAUGCUCUAACUCCCCAUCUGCUGUGGAGACAGGUAAGUGGGUGUGGCAAUGCAGAAUCCAGGCUUCUGCAGACCAUGGCACAUGCACACGCACACACACAUUUGUAGCAGAUAAAAGUAAAAGCAGUGCACACCUGGCCCCUUUCAGGAUUUCCACAUGGAUAUGUCAAAACAUGAAGAGAAAGAUCACCCACAUCAUAUCUCAGAAACCUUGGGCUUUGCCUUCCUAUUUGCAUGUUGACAUAGACUGCCCCAAGGAAUAAGAUCAUAUCAGAAAGAGCCAGCCCUAAAUACGACAAGCUUAAAAUAAUGUGGAAUGAACAAUACAGCUGAUGAAGGAAAAGCCUGAUGCCUGAAGUCUUAGGUAGGGUUUAGUUCUUGUCUGAUGUUUAAGUUUGAGGUAGGCAUUCACAUCUGCUAUAUUUGUUGGUGUUGCUUUGAGAUGAGACAAAAGGCCUUUUGUCUCAUCACUUUUUAGUUACAUGAAGUUCAUGUCACAACUGAGUGAUAUCCGGCAUAUGUCUAGUCAUCUUUCCUAUGUGUGCUGAAAUGGUAUUUCGUUCCAGUGAAACCUAUGAAUCUAUUAAGGUAUAUGCCAGUGUGGUCAAAAUAGACUCCCUAAGUGCAGAAAUGGCUCUAACUGGGUUUUGUUUUGCUCUGUAGACCCUCUGCUGAGUAUGAGCAGAACUUUGCAUAGUUCAGUCAUGUUUCAACCCAGAGCCACUAAAGGAGAUUCUGAGAAAUCAGGAAGGAACUGACUUCAGGUUCAAAACUUAAAAGAUGUAGUUUAGAAAUUAAUAGACAAAUGGGCAGAUGGAUGGAUGGAUGGGAAUCAUAAGACUGGAUGCUGGGACUUCAAGCUUGAAAAGAGCUCUUUGCAAGGAGAUUCUUAAGCAAGGAAGCAUUGACUUUGCAGUCACUAUAGCAAAUGGCUUGCCAGGAACUUUGCUGAUCUCUGCCACUUUCCCCCUCCCUGCUAGUGUACAGGAGAAACAAUCCACAAUCCCUGGCUUAGUGAUAUAACCAGAAAGUAGAUUUGUUUGAGUAAAACAGACCACAGCCUGUUCGCCAAGAACAAACAUUGGCUACAGAUCAUCAUUUGUUUGGAAUGAAACAAAUCAUGAAACCCACCUUGGGCAUAAUGGGCUUCUUUUCCCUGGGUGCUAGCAAGGAGGACCAUUACAAUGGUUUACAAUGAAGUGCCCUUAAUAUACAGCUCAAACAUUUUUGGACCCAUUCAGAGUCUAUCUGCAAAAGCAAUCUUUCUGAGAGCCUUUUAAACUACUUUGUCCUCCCCUUAGUCUUCUCUUGAGACUUCUAGUCUGGUGAUCUGUGUUGAUCCAUCCGUGGUCAGGACACCCACAGCUCUCUUCAAGCUCAAUCAGGAACAGGGACUUUUAACAUCAAUACUCUUGAUAAAGAUCUUUGGAUUGACCAAGAUGGUUGCUAGAGAAGUCUGAAACAAGACAUAUGUACACCUCAUGCUCAAAGCCAGGAGUCAAGAACAGUAUUCCAUAAUAAUUAAGGUCUUUUAUAACAUGAACUAAAAAGCUUAUGAGGCACGGGGAACAUACUGUACUUUCAUUUAUGAUGGGACUGUGUACAUAUUUUGGUCCAAAGCACACCACAAUUUUUUAAAGAUUCUCAAGAUUACAAUUUAGAUGAAUCCACGGCUAUCGUUUGUAAAUCUAUGGGGCAAGGAAGCAAAUGACUAUACAUGCAAAAGAACUUUUAGCUGGCUGUUGGCAGCAGCUAGCAUUUCUCUUGUGCAAAAGUGGAAGACAUUGCAAAGUUUACAACUAUCACUGUGGUACAAAAAUGUUUGGCAUUUUCAGAAAAUAAUAAUGCAUACUUGGGAAGUCUCAGAUGGAUUGGCAAACCUGGAACAUCUUUAUGCCAUAUGAUGGGACUUUAUUACUUACACCACUACAAAAGCUGUGCAUAACUCUUUAACUCUACCAAUGCGUGAAAUCUAGGCAUCACAAUAAUACUUUUUGUUACUGAUUCCCUCGUGUUAGUCUCAUCUGACUAUGAACCAACCAUGAGAAUUUGUAUGUUAGAUUCCUCUUUUCUGUUUUGGUAUAUAGUAUAUAAUUUAAUUGAAAACACUUUUAAAUGAUCUAGAAAGCUAAGAAUCAGUACACAUGUGGCAUAAGACAUCACAUCUACUGGAAAUGUCUAAAAAUUGGGUAUUGUGUGUCAAAAUUUGGGGCUUUAAGCAUACUUCAUUUUUGUUAAAUGAAUGCUGAAUUUACUAGCUUUUAUGUGAAAAUUCAACACAUGAAGUGAUAGCUCUUUUUGGUGGCUGUUUUUGUACCACAAGAACUUUUCUCAAACAGGCACCAAUUUCCUUUUUGCUUCUAUGGCUAAUGCACCAAUUUUUGUUCAUCCAUAAUGGGAUUGUUGCCAUAGCAGUGGCUACCCAAAUAGAAUGCAUUAAGCUAUUCUUUCAUUUCCCUCUAAUGUUCUCUGUAAUGUGAUCAAAAUUCUAUUAGGUGCACAACUAAUAUCUACAAAAGAAAAGCAUCAAGAAUGUUGUCAUUCCCCUCAAAUUACUUGCUUUGCAGUCAUAUUGAUUUUAGUGAGACUGCUCUGGAGUCCUUUGUGUCCUACUGAUGUAACAUCUUCUGGGAAGUCUGCUCUGCUAGACUAGGCACAUUUAUUCUUAGAUUUAACUUCACUUGUGGAAACUACGGCGUCAUUUAUGGCUUUUCAUCCCCCCCCCCCCCAUUUAUACCACACCCUAGAAAGUGAGAUAUUGUCCAAGAAUGGAAAAUCUCCAUUCUCUGGCAUGCUGGAUAUAGUUGAGCUUUUGGCAAACAUGAUAGCCCAUCACUCUCUUCCAAAGAACUAUAUUGCAAAGUCCAGGAUGAAAGGUUGCCAGGGAGAUUUCAGAAAGCUUUAUUUCCUGAUGCAAACAAUCAAGUUCAUCCCAUUUGCCGAAAGGAGUAUAAGUAUUAAGGGCUCAACUUGCACGUUACAUAUGAAUAUGUGCAAGGGACAGCCGAACAGUGCUCGCCUUUUCUGAAAAGCAGUGUUGGGAGGGGUGAUUGGAAGAGGAAAAGCAGCAGAGGAGAGAUGGUUUCCCAUUUCCCCACCCAUUGCUUUACUCCUUAAAAACCUAGGGAUGUAGGUGUAGCUGUUGUCUAAACCACUGAGCCUCUUGGGCUUGCCGAUCAGAAGGUUGGUGGUUCGAAUCCACGCAAUGAGGUGAGCUCCCAUUGUUAUGUCCAGCUUCUGCAAACCUAACAGUUCUAAAUCAUACCAGCGCAAGUAGAUUAAUAAGUACCACUGCGGUGGGAAGGUAAACAGAAUUUCCACGCCCUCUGACAAUUGUCACGGUGUUCCAUGGCACCAGAAGCAGUUUAGUCAUGCUGGCCACAUGACCCAGAAAGCUGUCUGUACACAAAUGCCAUCUCCCUCAUCCUGAAGCAAUCCCAUAGUUGCCUUUGACUGGACUUAAUCGUCCAGGGGUCCUUUACCUUUUUACUGAAAAACUUCCAAGCCAAGGCAUCCCACAUCUGCAGGUGUGUGUUCUGUCUUUCAGAAACAUGUAUGUAACCUUGUGGCUCUGGAGGGAGAUGUUUUGCUCAGGCAUGGUGUAAGGCAGUCACCACCAAUCGUAUCAAGCCGAUUGGCACAUCUGCAAACAAAAGCAUGUUCCAUUCAGUUCAAUGUGAAAAAGCAAAACAUUGAAUUGAUUGAGUGAUUGUUUGAUUUCCACACCGCUAAAUAAAUUUGAAAUAUCUCUAAGCAGUGUGCAGAAAACUGAAGCAACAACAGACAACUUAAGUUUUUUUUACAAAAUACAGUGUUACAUAUAAAAGUGUUACAUUAAUACAAAGUUACUAAUAUAUUUGUAAAUCAAUAUUGAUUCAUUUUACUUCUGACUGAUACACCCUCCCUCUCAGCCUCUGGCUUCUCACCCAGGGUCCAACAAUCUUUCAUCUCACCCACAAAAGUUUCAUGAGAAGAGCUCCUAGAAGCAGCAGAUAUCACCUUGGUCUCUCACUCUAGACUUGCUUUUUAUGGGCAGGCCCAAGGUGGAUGGUACUUCCUUAGGUUGUCCACAGAUGUGUCCCAUUCAGAUGCACUAGAAAGCACAGGUGCCAGCUGCUUUCAGUUUGCCCCACACUUCUUAGGCAUGGGUCUGUGCAAUUUUCCGUUUGCCACACUGCUUUCUCCAGGAAAACUAAGUCUUCCUAUGGAAAACCCAAUUGAUAUCUGCUCCAAUUCAGCUUUAAAGAUGGGAUUUUCCCAGGGGAAAGUGGUGGGACAAGCUGACUGAGCCCCUAGUCUAAGAUUACAGGGACACUCUGGGAGAGUUGCUCUACCCAAGGAUUUCUGCAAUGUAUGUCCUUUUGAUCCGUAGAUGUUCUUCUGGUGCAGUGUCUGUGUGUGUGAGAGAGAGAGAAAGAGAGAGUGAGAUGCCAAGAUCUGAGUUUGGGGCAAACACUCUUUGGUGAGAGAACCCCACUACCUAUCACAAUGGUGGACAUUUGCUAAUACUCAUAAAAGUCCUAAAGGACAUGCUUAUUAAAGCCAAGCAUGCAACUUGGGUCGUAUGUGUGUAGUGAUUCAUAAGCAGCCGCCUUCAUAUCUAAUAAUAGAAAGCAACUCACAAAGUAAAUUUAAAGUUUAAACCCACUCCAUCCCUACCCAUUGACCGAACCCAAAGGGUGCUCAUCAAUGGUUCCUCUUCAUCCUGGAGAAGAGUGACUAGUGGGGUGCCACUGGGUUCUGUCUUGGGCCCGGUCUUAUUCAACAUCUUUAUCAACGACUUGGAUGAUGGACUCAAGGGCAUCCUGAUCAAAUUUGCAGAUGACACCAAACUGGGAGGGUGGCUAAAACCCCAGAGGACAGGAUCACACUACAAAACGACAUUUACAGAUUAGAGAACUGGACCAAAACAAACAAGAUGAAUUUUAACAGGGAGAAAUGUAAAGUAUUGCACUUGGGCAAAAAAAUUGAGAGGCACAAAUACAAGAUGGGUGACACCUGGCUUGAGAGCAGUACAUGUGAAAAGGAUCUAGGAGUCUUGGUUGACCACAAACUUGACAUGAGCCAACAGUGUGACGCGGCAGCUAAAAAGCCAAUGCAAUUCUGGGCUGCAUCAAUAGGAGUAUAGCAUCUAGAUCAAGGGAAGUAAUAGUGCCACUGUAUUCUGCUCUGGUCAGAUCUCACCUGGAGUACUGUAUCCAGUUCUGGGCACCACAGUUCAAGAAGGACACUGACAAACUGGAACGUGUCCAGAGGAGGGCAACCAAAAUGGUCAAAGGCCUGGAAACGAUGCCUUAUGAGGAACGGCUAAGGGAGCUGGGCAUGUUUAGCCUGGAGAAGAGGAGGUUAAGGGGUGAUAUGAUAGCCAUGUUCAAAUAUAUAAAAGGAUGUCACAUAGAGGAGGGAGAAAGGUUGUUUUCUGCUGCUCCAGAGAAGCGGACACGGAGCAAUGGAUCCAAACUACAAGAAAGAAGAUUCCACCUAAACAUUAGGAAGAACUUCCUGACAGUAAGAGCUGUUCAACAGUGGAAUUUGCUGUCAAGGAGUGUGGUGGAGUCUCCUUCUUUGGAGGUCUUUAAGCAGAGGCUUGACAACCAUAUGUCAGGAGUGCUCUGAUGGUGUUUCCUGCUUGGCAGGGGGUUGGACUCGAUGGCCCUUUUGGUCUCUUCCAACUCUAUGAUUCUAUGAUUCUAUGAUUCAUUGUCUCUUUCUUCCCAUUCUGGCUGCCCUUCAUCCCUGUGUCUGUUGGUUCAUAUCAUAAUUACCUGUCUAUCAUAGGCACAGUGAUGUUUGUCUAUUAUGGAUGUGGCAAUAAUAGAAGUUCUGUAUCAUUGUUUUAUGCUUUUGUUUGGAUGACCGAAACUCAUACAUGCAGCCAAAAAGUACAAAGGUUGAUACACCAGUGCAGAAAACAAAUCAUACGGACAUGGUGCUAGGCAGUACAUGAAGCAAUAUCUGAUACCUCUAUCAAAUUACCCUUGUGAUUCUAUUUGAUUCUAGUUUGAUUUCCACCAUUCUAUUGGAUUCUAGUUUGAUUUCCACCAUUUUAGAAAAAUGUUUCACUGUGUUCAAUUAAUUUAUUUUCGGAAUGCUAAGCCGCAGGUGGAACAUAUGGAAAGUUGAGUAGAUCAGUGCUCUUGGCUAUUUUCAUUAAAUGAUUCUCUUUUAAGUUCCUAAUUGGGGGGGGGGGAUAUUUUGUUUCAAUUAGAUCAGAGCCACUUGCUGAUCAUGUGACAUUUUGAUACAGAUUAAUCAAUUACAGCUGCCUCCAAACAGCAUGACAACAAUAUUGAAUGAAGCUUAAAACCUGCAUCUCAUCAAGUUCCACAAGGAGGCAUCAAUUUCUGAUUACGCCAUUCAUUUUCUCCCUAUUGCUUGAGGCCUCUCAUGAUUUACCAUCUGUAAAGCCUUAACUGACAUCAUGCAGGAGAGAAUGCAAGUCAUAGGAUCACAAUUACUUUUGUCAAUUAUGCAACAUGGCUGCAAUCCACAACCUCCUUCAGCCAGGUAUAUAGCUUGCCCAAAUAUAACACUUGAGUAUCAUUGAAGCAUGGCAUGGAAAUGAGAUCAUCCAUACCUGCCCUACACUCCAGACUAGUCAUCUCCUUCCUUGCCUGAUUGGUGCACAUUUGUUUUAAUAUUAAAUGGCAUGCACACAAGUGAUAUACAUACCCAACUCCCAUACAUUUUGCACACACAUGAGACUAGUUACUGGGUUCAAUGGAACUUGAUUUGCACAAGUUUAGUUGCAGCAUCUUACAAUGAGGUAAUGAAAGACAUAUGCUGCCACCACCAUUAUGAGUUUUUCUCUCUCGUCUUCUUGGUAAUCACAAGUAUAACAUAGUGACGGACACAGAAAAGAGUCAGGUUGUAUGUAAAAUAAAAAAAGGAGAAAGUGAAAGACACCAAUUAUCAGAUUCAUCUGUCCCUGUUCUGAGGUCAUUCUGCCUCAUACACACACACACACACACACACACACACGUAUGCAUGUACAACUGAAAUCUGAACACAUGUCAGUUUUCUGGGCUAAACAAGUAACUUUUAUUAGACAGAAGGACUGGAAUAACUUCAACUAAAUUUUAACAGGAUUACGGAACAGUCAUCCAGAAUGCUACAUUAAAUAUAACUAUGAAAGCUAAUUUGACAGGUGUUCAGAUUUUGGUUGCACUAAUAGGCCUCAAAUUUCCAUUUAGUAAUACUUUAUAUACUGAAUAUCAUAGGACUUUGGCUAGGCAGUUUUACGUUUCUGACUUAUUUGGUUUGGCUCGUGUUACAUUUAAAAUACUCUAUCAAUUAAUAGAAAUGAGCAAGAAGUAAUUUUCUUCAUUCCACGCCAAAUAUUGCCUUUUGACUUGAUUGAGGGAAAACAAACAAACCCAGAAACGAGGUUAUGUUAUUACACCCUUCCAGAUAAAAAUGUAGUGGAGCAUAAAGGAUAUGGAAAUAUCUGAAACAGAGAGCCCCCAAACUCUCUGCAAUCAGGCUUCAAAGUCACAGAAAACUGCAAGCACAUUCAUCUGGAUGGUCUUACAAUCCACCUCGGACCUUCCCACUCAACAUGCAAAGGUUGUAGUGGUGUGCACAGUCCAACGGUACCUUCAUUGAUCUAAUCAAUAAAUGCUUGAGCAAGAUAGCGAGAUAACCAAGUAUCUUCUAUCAACUCCCACUAAGAAAAUAUUGGCCAUCCAUUCUAGGUUAUGAACUCCUAAACAAAGGAACAGUCAACCAGCAGCCAUAACAAUACUCUAUUUUUAUGUUACCUGUUCAGAGACAAAGAGAUAAACAAUUUGACCUCCUCCUUACUACUUUGUUUGUAUUAGAUACCAACUAGUAGAAUAAGUUUGAAUGUCAGAAUGUGAAUCAUAAGAAUGGGUCCUCAAAUUAGGAGAAGACCUAGAGUUUUUUCAGAUGUGGGGAUUAUUGUGUUAGUUUUCCCAGUCAUAAUGCUGGAAUUUUUAUCCUGGCUUUUAACUUCCUUUUACAUUGCACUUACCUGCUUUACCUGGUAUUUUAUGGAACUGUGGCUUUUGGACUGAUAUAAUGUCAUGUCACACUAACUUUUAAAUGGCAGGAAAGAUCUGCAUGCCAGAAUACUGCUCCCAAUUUUAUCACAUGAAAUUACAAUGCAAAACCUCUGUGAUUGUCUGGGUUAACUGGGUUGCAAAGAGAUUUCUUUCUGGAAGCAAAUAACACAGGAAAGGGUGCUAAACUUCUGCUAGAUUCUGCUAUUUUCCCAUAAGUAGUGUUUACAUUCUCUUAGAGAUUAUAUAAAAUGUGGAAAUUAUCAGGCAAGGAAACGUCUGGAAAAUGGAAUAAAGUGCUGUCUGAGUGCAGCCCUAACAUGAUAGAUUCAGAUUUUGCAGGCGGGGCUUAGCAUAAAAUAAAUGGUACACUGGAGAAAACCUCCAGUAAUUACUUUUCCUAAGAAAGGGACCCUGGAAAGAAAAUGGAACUGUGACAGUUCAUUUUCCAGACAACUACUGUUUUCACUGCACUGUUUCUUGCAAGUCUAUGACAAAAUCAUGGCAAGAGCUGGGAAAGGAAAUCUUCAAUAAAUAUUUUUCCUAAUGGAAAAUGCUGUUAUGAAAAAUCCUCUUUUUCUGGAUGCAAUUUUGCUAAAUGACAUACAAUGUCAACAAAGCAAGAAAAUGAAUUUCAGACUGCUAAAAAGGUGUUGGAACAUGUUUCACUGACAUAUUUGAAACUGCAUUCCUAUUUCCUAACUAGGGGUAGAAACUGUUCAGAUAGUUAAAAUAAGUCCCGUUCUCAGACUUCAAUAGACUCAGACCUGGACUGUGAAAUUUUGUUUAAAAUUUAUUUUCAAAUUUCUCAGACAGCAAAGGACCUUGAAUCUAAAAAUCUACUUCUCAGAGUACUUCAUGUUUGAAUUUACUUACGUACAGAUAUGCCUAAUCAAUCAAAUGCAGUGGACAAAGACAUUCAAUCUGUUUUUCUUCAGUUGGCUUGGAUCUGCUGUUCAGAUGAUGAUCAAAACAAACCAUAUCCUCUCUGUGUGGAAAAUACAUUUAUAUAAGGUAUGCAAAACAGGAUGUGACAAAAUUCUGGAGAGAAAGCACAACACUGCCUGCGCAUGGGGUUCUGGUAUAAAUCAGUCUUCAGCACUGGGAUUCAUGUUGGAGGCUACACCAACUGCUUCGUUCAGCAAAUGCUAAGGGAAUAGGGCAAGCACAAAAAAUGUGGGGGGAUCAAUGACAUCAUGGAUUUACAUUGUCAAGGAAUGACAUCACAGUUGCUUUCAGUUAAGCAAGAAUAUUCCCUGCAGUGGUUUGUUCAUUCGAGUGUUUCCUUGAUUAAUAAACAGCAGUAAUGACUUGUUUAAGGUGUGUUCUAUACUAAUGUGGUGCUAAAGCAUAUAUCCAGCAUUUUGAAAAAGCAUUCCCUAUCAAUUAAUGAGAAAAGAAAUUACAUUUGAAAACUAUCAAAGGGGAGAGGGAAAAUGUAUGAAAUUCUCAUAGGUGAGGUGCAGGUUUCUUCAUGCACUGAUCUUACUUUUGAUGUGAUUUAGCGGAGUUCUAGUGGAGUUUUUUCUUUCUAUAAAUCAUCUUUCCCAUGGUGUACACUCUGCAGCCUCCCCAGGUGCAUGCACUCCCAUUAAAACCAGGGGAAGACUUCAUGACUUAAGUCUGUCUAUGGGAUGUUUUCAGAUCAGGAAGCCAAGGAGGCUGCAGAGUGCUGCAAAUGUGUUCACUGGAAAGAAAUAUGCUUAUGCCGCCCUUGGCUACCUUGUGAUAGGAAACUCUGCACCACUGGUAUUCUAAAGAAAUUCUACAAUGCUCUGAGCAUUUUUUUUUUUUUAAAUGGAAGCCUCUUUCACAGGGGGAGGAAGCUUUUGAGAAAUUUGAGGGCAAAUUUUGGCACAUCACUAGUUAGAGCACAUGACAAAGGUCCCAGGUUCAUUUCCAGACAGGGCUCAGAAAGGCUCCUAUGUGAAACUGUAGGGUGUGUCUCUGAAAAGGAUUGACUAUGUACUCCCCUUUGAUGCAAAUUCUUUUUUCAUCAAGUGAAGGAGGAGGAUCGAAAAAAUGCAGGAGAAAUGUUCAGUAUAGAACUAGCACUGCAGCUCAAUCCAAACCUUCCCCAGUUACUUGUUUAGACAGCAUCCACUGCUAAAGUAAUGUGGAGGUGGCUGUUCUCCUGACCUGGAAAUGGUUCUGUCCUGUUUCCCUUCUGGGGGGCCAAAUCCAAGUGGUAGGAGGGGCCAGAGGCAGAUGUGAGCACAGCAACAAAGGUAAAUUUUACCUUUGUGCAGUAGGCUAGUUUCUACCCACAACUCUCUUGUUCUCCAUCUAGGCAAGCAAAGGGCAUGGUCAGACUUCAGGGGCAUGUCACAGGCAAGCAAAAACACUUGAGGAUGUGAAGCAGGACUGCUGAGAGCAUGACCUGGGGAGGCAGAGCAUUGCUGGGAAGUGGGUGUGAUGUGGGGGAGUCCUGAGGGCCAGAUAGAAAUGCUUGGUGAGCUGCAUUUGGUUCACCACCCCUGCUCUACAAUCUACCUUCACAACCUGCUACCUCCACAACUUGUACACUGACUGAGAAAAAGGGCUUACAUGAACUACAAAGCUUUGAAGACACCUACACAGAAGCUCUGUAACAUUAGCCCUUUCACUGAAAUGCACACGGAUUUCUAUUAAUUAUACAAACAGAUAAUCAACAAUGAGCAUUUUGUUUCAUGAGAAACGUCUCCAUUUGGGUCAAUUCUCUCUAUGAUUACUUGCAAACAUGUUAUCAUAUCCCCCACAUAGACCAAAACCGAAGUCAUCCCUCACUCACAUGUACAUUACUGUGGGAGUGGGAGAUUGAAUUCCCAAGUGGCUUUCCACUAUAACUAGGCCUGGGCAUUAAAAUUUCUGGAGGCCAGUAUGAUGAGGAGCAUAGAUGAGCCAGCAGAACCAAACAGAAAUGGAAAGCACUUUCCUGAACGCUCAUAAUCAAACCAAGGGAGGUUCUCUCAUCUCUCCCUUCUAGAAUUUGACCCUCUUCCUAAUGUAUUCAUUGCAUCACAACUGGAACAGAACCUGUGAAGCCAUUUCUUUUUUAAAAUAUAUGGAGAUAUAGUAACACUUCUAUCCUACUAAAAUACCACUAUUAAUAACAAUAAUGUUCACAUUUGCAUUCUGUAAGGCAAAUCUCCCUCAUUUUCUUUCACUGUCUGGGUUUCAACAAGUUGCAAACAUACCUGAAUCUCAAGUCCCCUCGUUCUCUCAACAUCCGUAGAACAAGUGCAACUUUGACCAAUGGUGUGUGCCCUUUACAAUGUUGGAGACAUUAGGCUUUUAUUGGAGGAAAGCAGGGGAUUGCAGCUGGCGGAUGAAGGCAAAUCUAUGUAAAGACAAUAGAGAGAGAACACCCCCCCCCAAAAAAAGACCCUGUAAAACAACUCACUUGAGGAAGUUAUUCAUAGUUGUCAGAAUAUGAAUCCUCAGGUGUUUUGUUUUUACUGUUAAAUUAGUAGUGUUUGUAAUAAUUAUGAGUAAUGCAAGUCAAGCAAAUCCUUGAACACAUAUUGAUGCUGGAACAAGGUCCAUAUUUGUCAAAGGCAGCAACUUCCAGAUGUGUGUGUGGUACAUUAGCCAGGAUUUUUCCAUCCUGAGAUUGUACACUAUCCCAAAUGCUCCUUUCUUCAUAGAGCCUUGAUAGUGAAAAAGUCUACAGAGCUUUCUAGGAUUAUGUUUCCCUCAAUAAUAUUUAAAUCAGCUGUCCUGAACCUGGUGUCCUCCAGAUGUUUGGACUACAAUCCACAUCAGCCCCAGCCAGCAUGACCAAUGGUCAGGAAUGGUGGGACUAAGGGAAGUACUGUAGCUCAGUGGUACAGCAUCUGCUUUAUGUGAAGAUGGAAUCCAGAACUGGAAAAGAUUUCCUGCCUGAAACUCUGGAGAGCUGCUAGCAGUCAAUGUGGACAAUAUUGAGCUAGGUAGACCAAAGGUCUGAUUCAGCAUAAGACAGCUUCCUAUGUUUCUGGAGUUGUAGUCCAAAAUAUUUGGAAGGCACCAGGUAGAGGAAGGUUGCUUUAGACCCUUAAAAACUAUUCUUGAGGAACUAUUUCUCUGCACAUGUUGCAUUGACAUAAGCAUCUCAGAGUGUGCUUGAGAGAGCAGGUUGAGCAGGAACACUUUUCCCCAUUGGGAUGACUUCAUUUAUGGUGAAAGCACCACCAUAUGUAGUCCUUGAAGACGUCAGAGCCCAUCCCAUUCAUUUCUUUUCUUUUUCAACCAACAAGUGGCAAUGCAGUUACUAAAUCAAACAGCCUGAAACAUCAUGGGGAGGAGAAAUCAUACAUGAAUCAGUUUUUGAAAAGGAAGCUUCAGAGAAUACUAAAGGUUAAUCUUUGUCAACUUCUUCCCUGGAAUAUUUCGCUUCUCUGCAAUGUGUUCAUGCUAAACCAUGUCUCCUCUUAAAAAAGAAAGAGCUACAAUCUACUGACAGCUAAGUAUGACCUAGUAGGUUAAGGAUGAGAAACUGAAUAUACAUAUAUUCCCGAAAUCCUUGCAAAUAAAGUUUGGCCAUUUUUUUGGUCAUCUGUUACAGGUCUUUACUUCUGAAUAGGCAGGGCAAGACAGCGAUCUGGGUGCAUUUUCAUUUUGCAGCUCAGUUGAAGUGCUCUUUUAUAUCAUACUCUCUUUUUUUAACCAUGUGUGCUGAGGUAUUGCUUGCACACUUUUUUAUUUUAUCUUAGCAUUUAAAGUUUAAUAUUAUUUUAAAAUCUCAAAUGAUUUUAAAAUCCUAGGGCACUAUCCUUCGGCAGCAGUGGGACUUAUGUGAGCACCACAUCGGAAGUGGGGAGAAGGCAAGAAAAUUGCUCAUGUUUCUUGUUCCAGCUUCACGCUGGUGCAGCAAACAAGCUUGGAUCAAGUCUUCACCACAACCUGCCAGUAGCUGAAUUGGCUUGGGAACCAGAAGAUCCUUGGCUGGCUCAGCUCUGCUGCCAAAACACCCCAUUUGGUGGUUUCAGCCAACCACCCCAGCAGAGAAAACACUGAUGGUAGCUUCUGCUUGCCUGUGCUUUGGGCCAGGGGAGCUCCUAUGGCAAGGGAGCCUCUCUCCCAGUGGAGCCUAGCAUACUCAGUGGCACAGCCAGGCAGUGCUGAGCAGAGGGACAGCUCUGCCUAAUCCAUAUCCACUCCAGCACUAUCUCUCUGUGUCUCAUCUUUCUUCCAUUGCAGAACUCAAAGCAAGAUAUAUUAUGGCUACCAGACAUCCUCGUUUCCCGGGAACAGUCCCCGGAUUUACAAAUCUGUCCCCGGAAUGUCCCCUGAAUUCAUUUAAUGUCCCCAGAUUUAUAUUUUAAGUGUUGUAGAUUUAUUAGUAGGGAAUGAAUGUUGUGUGAUUGAUUAACGACACAUCAUAUGGGGACUUCCAGCGAGGCAACUUGGCGGGCGCCAUGGCAGCGAUCAGCUCCUGAAGCCAGCCAGAGCCAACUGCGCUGCCAGGCUGGCUCCAGGCUGCUGAGACUGCCGCUGCCACUGCCACUGCUGAGGAGGAACCGGGGACACCCGGUCCAUCAACUGAGGGAACUGCUGACCCCCCCAACACAAAUCAAGCCAGGAGCAAGAGUGCCGGGCCAACUGCCCAGCGGCACUCCAGGGCCAGGAAAACUCUGGAGCUGACGCAGGGAGAAGGAGGAGAGGAGAAGGAGAAGGGAGAGAGAAAGAGGAAGGAGAAAAAAGAGGGGAGCCCUGACCUUGCCACGCUGCCGCUGAAGAGGAGAGGUAGGAGAGCACCAGGAGGGCAAGGAUAUGUGGCCAAGCCCAGGCCCGACCCAAGCCUACUCCACGGCAGCUAGCACUCCAAGAGAGCAGGCCGGGGCCCAGAGGAAGGCCACGCGACAGAGGAGACCACAGAAGAGAAGAUAUUACUUCUUAAUUAUUUAUUUUAAAUAACUUUUUUUAAUAACUUUUUUCUCUUUUUUUUUAAAAAAAGUGUCCCUGGAUUAUUUGAAAAAAAUCUGGUAACCUUAAAAUAUAUGCAGUUCCCACUCGGUCUCCUGUCCAGCAACUGAGCAGUUCCAGACCUGAUCAGCUUCAGCAAGAUGGCUGCAUCAUAUAAACACAUAAAUCUGAAAACAGAACCACAAAGAUCACAGUCUUCAUGCUGCUUACCCCAAAAUAUUGCUGAUAUACUAUCAUGCACUCCCCACUUCCCCAAAUGGUGAGAAGUUCCAGAAGCAGCAUGACAGCUUUUAGCUUCCUUGGGAUUAGAGCAGUAAAGACUUACAACAUCUUUGCGAUAUUUACUUUAUUUACAAACCCAGCAUAUGUGGAGGUCAACAGGCAUUCAUAUAUAUGCAGACAGCACAGCCUACAUCAAUUUUCCAGGGAGCAACUUGUUUCUCAUCCUCCAUGUCCCUUGGCUCCAUCCCAGUUUGCCAGAAUUCAACAGAAGCAGAUUCUAAAUUUCAGCUUAUUCCAGCUAGAAAUUCUCCUCUCUUAUUUCUCUCUCUCUCUCCCCUUGUUCAAUCAUUCCCUACUCAAUUAUCAAUGGUGCGAGCAGGAGACUAGGGCCACAUUAUCUGGCCCUGACCCCACCAUUUCAUCUCCAUCAACACUGCCUCCCUGCUGUCCAUGCAUUAUGGAGGAGCCUCUAUUGAGGUGAGCCUGUUCUAUGUUCAUAAGCUGCUCCCCCUUGGGAUGUAAAUCACACAUCAUGGGAGAAGCGUAGGCCCAUAGAAAAGGUUCCACUGUACAGAAGUUCCUCCCCAACAUGCUAAACUAUGGAAUUCGUUUCCAAAAGUUAUAGUGUUGACCACCAACAUGGACGGCUUUAAAAGAAGAUUAGAGAAAUUCCUGAGGAUAAAGCUGUCAGUGGCUACUCACCAUGGUGGUUAUGUUCUGCAUUUGCUGUUGGAGGCAGUAUGUUUCUGAAUAUCAGUUAGUGGAAACUGUGGGAGGGGACACAGUCAUCUACUGUCCUUUGAUUCUCUCAAAGAAAGAAAACCCAAGCAGGAAUGUUGUUUGGGGGAAAACUGAGAAUCACUCUGAAGAGAUGGGAGAUACCUACAGGCAAAGGAUUGCAUUUCCAAAAUAUGGAAUCUGCAUUUAUGGUUAACAAAAUUUGGCUUAAUCUUAUACCAGUUCCAAGAAUCUACAGUUUGCUUAAAUUCAAAUGACUGUUUCUAAAUCACGUUUGGUAAACAAAGAAAACCCAAGCAUUCUUCUCUGGCCUGAUUAGAGCACUGAAGGCAUGGUGCACAUUAUGGCCAUGAAUUGUUUUCAUUCCCCACAUUCAUAUGCAAAUUAUCCAUUUAUCAUCAUCUCAGUCGAAGAACACAUAACAGAUGCCUAAAUGUUUCUUAUCAUGUACACAAUCUGAGCAUUCAUACUUGCGGGGUGGGGUGGGGGUUAUGUGAAAUACCUUGAGAUUUAGAAAAAAUUAUUGGAUUUAUAAGCAAUGGUGGUUGGCCAUGUUAUGUACCCUUCUAUGAAAUUUGCUUGGAGCUUCUUGCAUUUAAUAAGGUUCUUAUUUAACACUAAUGCCAUCUAAGCCUGUUUUUCAUUUUUGACUUUGAAUAGAUGACACUUAAGUUAAUAGCUUAUAGGUUUUUCUCCUUUUGUGUGCCAUCCAAAUGACUUAUCCUACAUAUGUGCUUGUGAUUACAAAUCAGCAAAUAAUUCAUAACAUAUUCCAUUGGGGACACAUCUAAAAAAAAGACCACGUGAGUCUCUGAUGUAUUCAUAGUAACUUAGUAAAGCAACUUUAGCAAAUAAUCCUUUAUGUCUAGUUUACAGGCAUUUUUCUUGAGUAAGUUAUUAGUCAUACAUUGAGCUAGCUUGAUUGCAUCUACAAAGUCAGCUGGUAAUGAUUCCCCCCCCCGCACUGUUUUUACAACAGGGGUCUAUAUAAAAAAGCAAGAGCAUUUCACUGAUAAUGCCAUAGAUUUUAAGCACCUCACCCAGUGGCAGAUACUGUAUUAAAGGCCUGACACAUAGGGAUGUAAGAAUGCUGUUUCUGUUCUGACUUGUAUUAAUCAUUUGUAUUACGGUAUUUUAAUAUUUUGUUGGAAGCCGCCCAGAGUGGCUGGGAAAGCCCAGCCAGAUGGGCAGGAUAUAAAUAAUAAAUAAUUAUUAUUAUUAUUAUUAUUAUUAUUAUUAUUAUUAUUAUCAUCAUCAUCAUAACCAUCACUAUACAGUGGUACCUCGGGUUACAUACGCUUCAGGUUACAGACUCCGCUAACCCAGAAAAAGUGCUUCAGGUUAAGAACUUUGCUUCAGGAUGAGAACAGAAAUUGUGUUCCGGUGGCACAGCGGCAGCAGGAGGCCCCAUUAUCUAAAGUGGUGCUUCAGGUUAAGAACAGUUUCAGGUUAAGUAAGGACCUCUGGAACGAAUUAAGUACUUAACCCGAGGCACCACUGUAAUCACUUUUCCUCUUCUGCCGCAGUUUGGUUUCUGCCAAUUCUAUAUUAUUUGUCUUGCUAUCGUAUUUUACUUUUUAAAUAUAACCUUUUUAUUAACUUUUAAAAUUUUACAAAUUCUUUUAAACAACCCUCAGAAUAAAUCUCUCAUAUCUGUUGACUUCCCAUCCAUAUAUUAUAUUAUACUUCCGGUUGGUGCCAGCAGCAAUGGCUGACCUCCUUUGAAGAUUCGGAGGGGGUAGCUCGGCGGGAGAUCGGGUCCUGUGCGCUCCGGCGAAGCGGGGACCCUCAGAAAUCGCAGGCGCGGACGCCUGCGAACGUGGAGGCUCGGCGGGCACCUUGAAGCGCCCCCACCUGGAAAGAAGCCUUUUGGGGCUUCGUAAGGGAGCGGGGAGAGAAGCGCGGUGCUGCGAGCGGAUCGCUGCUCCCGCUGAGUGAAGCCGCGUUGCCGUUGCUGGAGAGCGCUGACUUAUUCCUGAGAAAUUCGGACUUAAAAACUAACCGUGAGUAGAGGAAUUGGAUAAAAAGACUAGAAUUUGGACUAAUUUGGAACUUGGGUAAAAAGCAGAAAAGUUUAAAGCCUUUAAAAAUGACUGAAUUGGCUACCGCGGUGGAAGCUUAAACAGGAAGUCGGCUUCACUGCGUUGUGUAAAGAACAAAGCAAAGAGAUUUGAAGCUAAACGUGAAGAAUUGAAUUGAAAUAAGUGUAAUCUUCUAACCUGAGGACUUUGGAGGGAUCUACCCUUAAGAGAAUUAAGGGAAAGACUCUUGAUUUUAUAGGACUUUUUAGAUUGAAAGAUUAAAGGAGUGAUCUGUCACCCAGCUGUCAAAGCUGUCAAAAUCGCUAAAGCAGUCUGCUGGCUGUAAAGGAGAUACAGAGUGGCCAGCUUCACUGAGAAAGAUUGGAAAGGACUGAAAAGUUAUAUUGUAGCUUUUACUUUGGACUCUUUUUUUCCCUCUUACUGAGUAUCUCUCCCUUGCCGUUUUAAAGACAGUAACUUGUUAAGGAAAAAAAAGGGAAACCAACGCCACCGACAGACAUAGAAAAUCUGCUUGGGGCUGCUGGAGGAGAAGGAGAGUAGCUACAAAAUGACACUACAAAUUUUAAGUUGGAACAUUAAUGGUCUAAAUUCGUCGGCUAAAAGGGGAAGAGUAUUUCAUACAUUGAAAAAAGAACAUUUGGACUUGAUUUGUUUACAAGAGACUCAUGUGACAAGGCUGCAUCGGAAAAUUCUGAUAAAUAAAAGAUUGGGAGAGGAAUUUAUUUCAUCGGACAAUGUUAAAAAAAGAGGGGUAGUACUUUAUGCGAAGGAAAGCCUGUCACCAAAAUUCAUAUUUAAAGAUGAUCAAGGAAGAUACAUAGCAAUUGAAAUUCAAUUCCAAGGACAGAAAUUUUUGAUAUUAGGAGUAUAUGCACCAAACGAGGGAAAAUCAGAAUUCUUUAAGAAAUUGCAUGAAACUCUUCUGGACUAUUUGGAUUACAAUAUUAUUUUGAUGGGAGAUAUGAAUGGAGUAGUGUCUACAAAUAUGGACAAGGCCCAAAGACAAACAGUGACAAAAGAUGGAAGAUUACCAAAGACAUUCUUUGAAAUGACUGACAACAUGGAUCUGGUGGAUAUUUGGCGAACAAAGAACCCCUUGGAAAGAGAAGGAACCUUCUUCUCUGAAGCAAAUAUGACAUGGACAAGAAUAGACCAAAUCUGGAUAACUAGAGGACUGGCUCCUAAAAUCAAAAAAGCAGUGAUUUGUCCGAAAAUCUGCUCCGAUCACAAUCCAGUAAAGAUUGAAAUGACAUUAACGCCAAUUGGGGCCUUUAGAUGGAGGAUGAAUGACUCCUUAUUUAGGAAUGAAGAAAUUGUUAAAAAGGCUCAAAAAAAACCUGAGAGAUUAUUUCGAAAUAAAUUUGAACACGACGACAGAAAAAAGAGUGAUUUGGGAUGCUAGUAAAGCGGUGAUGAGAGGAUUUUUGAUACAACAAAAUGCAAUCAGGAAAAGAUACCAAAAUGAGAAGAGAGAAAAAUUCUGGAGAAAAUAAAGGAUGGAGAAAAAAGACUGAGAGCGAAACCGAACUCACAGGAGAUUUUAAAAGAAAUAAAGCUAUACCAAGUACAGUAUAUGAAAUUGAUGAAUCAGGAGAUAGAAUGGAAGAUUCAACAGAUGAAACAAAAGACCUUCGAAUCGGCAAAUAAAUGUGGGAAGUUACUGGCCUGGCAAAUGAAGAAAAGACAAAAGCUGAAUACAAUUACAAACUUGGUUGUAGAAGGAAAGAACAUACAGAAUCCUGGAGAGAUUCGGAAGUGCUUUCAGAAUUAUUUCAAACAGCUAUAUACGCAGGAGGCUCAGAAAGAUUUAGAUAUUGACCGAUUUUUGGAAAAUAAUGGAUUACAAAAAUAUCUCAGGACAGUAAAUCAAUAUUAAAUUCGACUAUAUCUGAUCAAGAAGUGGAAGGAGCCAUUCUGAAUAUGAAAUUGGGCAAAUCCCCAGGGCCAGAUGGACUAACUGCAAAGUAUUACAAAACUUUGAAAGAAUGGCUAUUGCAACCGUUGAAAGAACUUUGUAAUGAAAUACUACGGGGAGGAAGAGCACCCGAGUCGUGGAAAGAAGCGUACAUUACACUUAUACCAAAAACCGAGGGGGAGAAGACACAGUUGAAGAACUACCGUCCCAUAUCCCUGCUAAACGUGGAUUACAAAAUUUUUGCUGAAAUUAUGGCUAAGAGAUUAAAAAAUGUAUUGGUAAAAGAGAUUCAUAAAGACCAGGCGGGUUUUCUGCCUGGAAGACAUUUGUCAGACAACACUAGGAACAUUAUCAACAUUUUGGAAAAACUGCAAGUUAAUAUUAAUACUAAAGCUGUUUUAAUAUUUGUGGAUGCAGAGAAAGCGUUUGAUAAUAUUUCUUGGAGUUUUAUGAAGAAAAAUUUGCAGGGGAUGGGGGUAGGCCAAAGUUUCGAAAAUGGUAUAGGUGCAAUUUACUCGGAACAAAAAGCUAAGCUUAUUGUGAACAAUGUAGUUACAGAAGAAUUUAAGAUAGAGAAAGGAACAAGACAGGGUUGCCCAAUCUCCCCAUUGCUUUUUAUAUCGGUCCUUGAGGUUCUGCUCAAUAUGAUUAGAAAAGACCAAUUGGUUAAAGGUAUACAACUCGGAGCCAAACAGUAUAAAUUGAAAGCUUUUGCUGAUGAUUUAGUUUUGACAGUACAGGAGCCAGAAGCUAGCACAAAAAGGGUGUUACAAUUAAUACAAGAAUUUGGUCAAGUAGCUGGUUUUAAAUUAAACAAGAUGAAAACCAAGGUAUUAGAGAAAAAUCUUACAGAGAUAGAGAAGGAGAGAUUCCAGAAAGAGACAGGAUUAACAAUUGUUAACAAAGUGAAAUAUUUAGGGGUGAACAUGACUGCUAAAAAUGUGAAUUUGUUUAAAGAUAAUUAUGAAAAAUGUUGGUCAGAGGUGAAGAAAGAUCUAGAAAUAUGGUCAAAAUUGAAGUUAUCAUUGCUUGGCCGAAUUGCUGCGAUAAAGAUGAAUGUACUGCCUAGAAUGUUGUUCUUGUUUCAAACAUUACAAAUUGUGGACAAAAUGGACUGUUUCAAGAGGUGGCAAAGAGACAUUUCCAAAUUUAUCUGGCAGGGCAAAAACCUAGAAUAAAAUUUAAGAUAUUAACAGAUGCAAAGGAAAGAGGGGGAUUUGCCCUGCCAGAUCUUAAACUUUACUAUGAAUCAGCCGCUUUUUGCUGGCUGAAAGAUUGGCUACUUCUUGAAAAUGUGGACAUUUUGGAUUUAGAAGGCUUUGAUAACGUUUUUGGAUGGCAUGCAUAUUUAUGGUAUGAUAAAGUUAAAGCGCAUAAGGCCUUUAAGAACCAUAUUGUCAGGAAAGCAUUGUUUAAUGUUUGGGUGAGAUAUAAGGAUUUGUUGGAAAGUAAAACACCAAGGUGGCUAUCACCAAUGGAGGCAAAGGCAUUGAAAAAAACCAAUAUGGAGACAAACUGGCCAAAAUAUUGUGAAAUUUUAGAACAAGUUGGAGAUAAAUUAAAAUUGCAGAGUUUUGACAAAUUAAAAACCAAAGUCAGAGAUUGGUUACAUUAUUAUCAAAUAAGGGAGGUUUUUAACUUAGAUAAAAGAUUGGUUUCAGGAGGAAAAAUCUAAACUGGAAACGGAAUUGUUAGAACCUAAAACUAAAAAUUUGUCAAGAAUGUAUAAUUUGCUGCUGAAAUGGAAUACACAGGAUGAAAUGGUUAAAUCUGUUAUGAUUAAAUGGGCGCAGGAUGUUGGGCAUAACAUUAUGUUUGCUGACUGGGAACGGUUAUGGACCACAGGUAUGAAAUUUACGGCUUGUAAUGCUUUAAGAGAAAACAUAAUGAAAAUGAUUUACAGGUGGUACUUAACCCCAGUCAAGCUAGCAAAAAUUUAUCACUUGCCUGAUAAUAAAUGUUGGAAAUGUAAAGAAAACGAAGGUACUUUCUUUCACCUUUGGUGGACGUGCCCAAAGAUCAAGGCAUUCUGGGAAAUGAUAUACAAUGAAUUAAAAAAGGUAUUGAAAUAUACUUUCUUAAAGAAACCAGAGGCCUUCCUCUUGGGCAUGGUCGGCCAAUUGGUGCGAAGGGAAGAUAGAACUUUUUUUAUGUAUGCGACAGCAGCAGCAAGAAUACUCAUUGGGAAAUAUUGGAAGACACAAGAAUUGCCUACCCGAGAAGAAUGGCAGAGAAAAGUGAUAGAUUAUAUGGAACUGGCUGAGAUGACUGGAAGAAUUCGAGAUCAAGAAGAAGGGUUGAUGGAAGAAGAUUGGAAAAAGUUUAAAAUAUAUCUACAGAAUCACUGUAACAUAAAAGAAUGUUAGGAAAGGUUGGAGAAGAAAUAUUAGACCGUAUUGGCAGACAGAGUAUAAUGGAAUUAAGUAAAUAUGAAGUGUAAACUAAAGGAUAGAGGAGAAUUAAAUAUUUUUGAAUGUUAAAAUGUUAAAAUAAGUGAAUGAAAAGAAGGUUAGAAGGAUUUGCUGGAGAUACAAUUUGAAUUAGAAUACAAAGCAGAGAAGUGAGAGGAAGUCACGGAAAUAAGUAAAUGGGAAAACGGUUUGUUAAAUUUGAAUUCUUUUUUUGUUAUUUUUUAUUGUGAUUUUUGGUCUUGUGUAUUCUUUCUUUUUUCUUUUUUUUCUUGUAUGGUGUGUAUCUUUUGUAAGAUGUAUGUGAUUGGUUUUUCUUGUUUUGUUUUUUCUUUUUUUGUAAUCUUAAAACUUGAAUAAAUAUUCCUAAACAAAAAAAUAAGUUAAUAGCUUAUAGGUUUUUCUCCUUUUGUGUGCCAUCCAAAUGACUUAUCCUACAUAUGUGCUUGUGAUUACAAAUCAGCAAAUAAUUCAUAACAUAUUCCAUUGGGGACACAUCUAAAAAAAAGACCACGUGAGUCUCUGAUGUAUUCAUAGUAACUUAGUAAAGCAACUUUAGCAAAUAAUCCUUUAUGUCUAGUUUACAGGCAUUUUUCUUGAGUAAGUUAUUAGUCAUACAUUGAGCUAGCUUGAUUGCAUCUACAAAGUCAGCUGGUAAUGAUUCCCCCCCCCCGCACUGUUUUUACAACAGGGGUCUAUAUAAAAAAGCAAGAGCAUUUCACUGAUAAUGCCAUAGAUUUUAAGCACCUCACCCAGUGGCAGAUACUGUAUUAAAGGCCUGACACAUAGGGAUGUAAGAAUGCUGUUUCUGUUCUGACUUGUAUUAAUCAUUUGUAUUACGGUAUUUUAAUAUUUUGUUGGAAGCCGCCCAGAGUGGCUGGGAAAGCCCAGCCAGAUGGGCAGGAUAUAAAUAAUAAAUUAUUAUUAUUAUUAUUAUUAUUAUUAUUAUUAUCAUCAUCAUCAUAACCAUCACUAUACAGUGGUACCUCGGGUUACAUACGCUUCAGGUUACAGACUCCGCUAACCCAGAAAAAGUGCUUCAGGUUAAGAACUUUGCUUCAGGAUGAGAACAGAAAUUGUGUUCCGGUGGCACAGCGGCAGCAGGAGGCCCCAUUAUCUAAAGUGGUGCUUCAGGUUAAGAACAGUUUCAGGUUAAGUAAGGACCUCUGGAACGAAUUAAGUACUUAACCCGAGGUACCACUGUAAUCACUUUUCCUCUUCUGCCGCAGUUUGGUUUCUGCCAAUUCUAUAUUAUUUGUCUUGCUAUCGUAUUUUACUUUUUAAAUAUAACCUUUUUAUUAACUUUUAAAAUUUUACAAAUUCUUUUAAACAACCCUCAGAAUAAAUCUCUCAUAUCUGUUGACUUCCCAUCCAUUCUUCCAUGAUGUUCUUUUCUUACCUUAUAAAGCUCCUAUGCUACUUAUAUUUUACCAAUUAUAUGUGUUAAUUAUCAGUGAUUAAACUGCAAUUCUCACCUGCUGCUAUACUUCAAAUCCUGCAUACGUUUUAACAUAACCAUAAUAUUUUAAUAGCAUAGCCAUAUGUGGUUUUUUGUUUUGUUUUGUUUUGUUUUGCAAAUAUUCCAUGAAAUAUUUCCAUUCUUCAAGAAAUUUUUCUUCAUUCUGUUCUUUAAUUUUCACAGUCUAGCCAUCUCAUCUGUUUUGUUUUUGUUGGGUUGGCAUUGGUUAAAUGUUUAGUUGGGGUUGGCAGUUAUUUUAAUUUGGGUAUAACUUUAAACUGUUUAUUGUUGUUAUUGUUUUUGUUGUUAUUAUUACUGGUUUCUAUUGGUUUAUUGGCUUGUUCAUUGCUUGUAUAGGAUAUUCUGCUUUUUGAUGUUUGAUGUUUCUUGUAUUUUUAUAUAUGCUGUAAGCCUCUCAGAGUGGCUGGGGAAAUCCAGCCAGAUGGGCAGGACACACACACACACACACACACACACACACACACAAUUAUUUUUAUUAUUAUAAUAUUCUGUCAUCUUCAUAAGCCAAUCUUCAUAAGCCAGUGUGGUGUAGUGGUUAAGAGCAGUAGACUUGUAAUCUGGGGAACCGGGUUCGCGUCUCCGCUCCUCCACAUGCAGCUGCUCUCAGCCCCACUCACCUCACAGAGUGUUUGCUGUGGGGGAGAAAGGGAAAGGAAAAUGUUAGCCGCUCUGAGACUCCUUCGGGUAGUGAUAAAGUGGGAUAUCAAAUCCAAACUCUUCUCUUCUUCUUCUCAUGAGGUGGCCAAAGUAUUGGAACCUCAGCUUCAGGAAACUUGACCACAAACUUGACAUGAGCCAACAGUGUGACGCGGCAGCUAAAAAAGCCAAUGCAAUUCUGGGCUGCAUCAAUAGGAGUAUAGCAUCUAGAUCAAGGGAAGUAAUAGUGCCACUGUAUUCUGCUCUGGUCAGACCUCACCUGGAGUACUGUGUCCAUUUCUGGGCACCACAGUUCAAGAAGGACAUUGACAAACUGGAACGUGUCCAGAGGAGGGCAACCAAAAUGGUCAAAGGCCUGGAAACGAUGCCUUAUGAGGAACGGCUAAGAGAGCUGGGCAUGUUUAGCCUGGAGAAGAGGAGGUUAAGGGGUGAUAUGAUAGCCAUGUUCAAAUAUAUAAAAGGAUGUCACAUAGAGGAGGGAGAAAGGUUGUUUUCUGCUGCUCCAGAGAAGCGGACACGGAGCAAUGGAUCCAAACUACAAGAAAGAAGAUUCCACCUAAACAUUAGGAAGAACUUCCUGACAGUAAGAGCUGUUCGACAGUGGAAUUUGCUGCCAAGGAGUGUGGUGGAGUGUCCUUCUUUGGAGGUCUUUAAGCAGAGGCUUGACAACCAUAUGUCAGGAGUGCUCUGAUGGUGUUUCCUGCUUGGCAGGGGGUUGGACUCGAUGGCCCUUGUGGUCUCUUCCAACUCUAUGAUUCUAUGAUUCUAUGAUUCUAGGAUCUGUCCUUCCAGUGAGCACUCAGGACUGAUUUCCUUAAGAAUGGAUAGGUUUGAUCUUCUUGCAGUCCAUGGGACUCUCAUGUCCAUAAUUCAAAAAGCAUACAUAAACAAAUUAAAAAAUUCUUUUGGAAGCUCUGGUGUGGUUUCUGUUCAGAUCAUAUAAAGCUUUCACCUUUUGCUAUCUUAUUCUGCAUAAGUUGCUGCCACACGCCCUGGGGAGGUAUCCUAGAGUGGAUGGUCAGAUCCUGAGAAAUAAUGGGAGGAGCUUGGAGAGUUGGAGCCAAGACAUCCUGCAGAGGAUCCUAUCUGUGUCAGUCAGUAAUGAUGUCAUUUUAGGGGGGUUCACUUCCUUCUCAGUGUUUCUAGAAGUUAACAAGUCUAUGGCAGCAGGACCACCAAACCCUGAACUCUGGCCAUCAUGCCCCAACCAGGUCAGAAGGUGUUUGUGAGAGGACAGCAGGAGGGAAAAGGAGUAGUCUAGUUCCGGGGUUCAGAGUUUUGUGGGUUUGUUUGUUUUCCUCUCCACCAUUGGAACACUGAUGGCAAAAGGGCAAUUGUGCUUUGCAUAUUGACCAUGAAAGGGUUUCUGAGGGCAGGCAGCAAGCAGAGAGGAGAAACUGAGAAACCCCAAGGUAUUCAGAGUACCUUCCAAGGUUCCCUUCUUUUUUAGUGAAGCUAGGCAUAUGUCAUGUGGUAUUGCUAAACUGUCAGGCUGAAGUCAGCCAGAUUCUGUUUGUUUGUUUUCAUUAAAAAUAAUCCCAGAGUGGUGGACAGUAUAAAAAAUAAAAAUUCAAUACACAAUAAAACCAGUCACAUAAAACCAACAGCGCAUAAACUCAUAAUCACAUACACGCCCAUGAAAGCAGGCUAACCAAUUUCACUAUAUUAAAGACGGAAAUCUGAUUUAUUGCGCUUCCUCAGUGAAAACUAGAUGCUUCUCGUUGUUGUUUUUAAAUAAACUAGGCAGUAAUAAGAGCUAGCAAGUCAAAAACAAAACUCUACAUUACGGCCCAGAGGGCACCUACUGGCCUCUGUUCUCUCCCUGACCCCCGCCAUUGUUUGACAAACAAGCUUAGCUUUCUCCUUCUCCAGGGAGAAACUACAGUUAUGCCUGUUACCAGAUACCAUAAAACUGUGGCCUCAUCUAGACCAUACAUUUACAGCACUUUUGUACCACGUCAACAGUCAAGGCUUUCCUCAAAGAACCCUGGGACCUGUAGUUUGUUAAGAGUGCUGAGAAUUGUUUGGAAACCCCUCAGAGCUACCACGAUCAGCAGCCUGUCCGUUCCUUAACAAGCUAUUCAGUCUAGUGUGUCAUAGAACUAGCUUUCUUAUGCCCCAAACACAAGUGCAGAGGACUCCCAUUCAUGGUGUCUCUAUAAACAUUAUCUUAAAAUAUGUGAUAUCAGCCCCUCCAAGUGUCCCUAUUUUCCAGGAACAGUCCUGGAUUUACAGAAGCCAUCCCAGUUUCUUAUUUGUCCUGCUUUCCCUUGGGAUGUUCCUAUUUACAAUGAAGAAAUGUUGGCGGGUACGUGAUAUGAUUGUUAUGGUAAUGACUGAUUAUGGAUCUUGAGCUGACCAUAGAUUCAGCUUGAUUAAAGAUCCCUAUGUAGAUCCCAAGCAUUCCUGGGGGCACAGCCACUUGGAGGACCCUGGCCUAGUCUGCCCACAGUUACACAGGAGUGUAUGUUAGCAGAAAUUUGCUUGCCUCCACGGCUUUAAAAUGUGCUGCCAGUUCCAUGCGCAUUGACCCUGGAAAUGUGGCAGCUAUAUUGAGGCAUGCAGUGGGUCGGAAAAUAGCUUUAUUCAUAGCCUGCAUCCCCAGAGAUAGGCAGAUCAUUCUGUGUGAGUAGAUUUCCAAUGAGAUGAAAUGAGCCUCUUUUUUGUUUUGAAUAUUGUUCCUUUAUAUAUUUCUCUGCGCCACAUUUACAUGUCCCUAUACAUGUAAUCAGCUGGUUUUAAUUUGCAUUGAUUUCUAUAGAAUAAAGAGCCUGAGCUUGAAAGAGAAGGAUAUAACUGUGUGGGAAAUUUCUCUCUCUCAACUGAAUGUGAGUACACAAGUGAAGAUUUCAAAAGAAAACCACCCUCUUUCAAAGGCUACAGAAAUAGUUGGGGAAUGACUUUUAAAGCUGUCAUUUGGGUUCUCAUCAAUCUACUCAGUGCACACUUAUGCUCUCUGUGUGAUAGUCUGACAUCUUUACACAUUUUAAAGAUUAUACACUCAAGCAUACUUUGCAUGGGUUUCAUGGAAUCUACCCAAAAGGAGAUUAUCCCCCACCCCAUGUGCUGGAAUUGACAACUUGGAAUCAAGCUUCACUAAGUUAGCCAUGGUAUGAGGACCCACUUCAGUACAAGUGAACUGACAAUUGUGGCUUGUGUGCUUGUUCUGACAUAGAAUUGUUUUUAUGUUGGAACUGUGCAGUGGAGCUCUGAGACAUCUCAAAGACAAAACAAGAACAACAGUUGUUUGUUUUAUUAAUUUAUUGGUUUAUUGUUUUAUUAAUCAGGUUGAAACCUGACAAGACUAAAUACUCUUCUUGGGGGACAGAGGGCGGGUGGGUGUGGAGGGACUCCCUGGUCCUGAAUGGGGUAGGUGCGCAGCCUGGGAGUCAUUUUGGACUCACAGCUGUCCAUGGAGGCUCAGGUCAAUUAUGUGUCCAGGGCAGCUGUCUACCAACUCCAUUUGGUACACAGGCUGAGACCCUACCUGCCCGCAGACUGUCUCACCAGAGUGGUACAUACUCUGGUUAUCUCCUACUUGGAUUACUGCAAUGCACUCUACAUGGGGCUACCUUUGAAGGUGACUCGGAAACUACAACUAAUCCAAGAUGCGGCAGCUAGACUAGCCACCAAGACCAUAUAACAGCAGUCUAAAGGAUCUUCACUGUCUCCCAGCAUGUUUCCAAGCACAAUUCAAAGUGUUGGUACUGACCUUUAAAGCCCUAAAUGGCCUUGGCCCAGUAUACCUGAAGGAGCAUCUCCACCUCCAUCAUUCAGCCCAGGCAUUGAGGUCCACUUCUGAGGGUCUUCUGGCAGUUGCCUCACUUUAAGCAGUAAAGUUACAGGGAUCCAGCAGAAGGCCUUCUCGGCAGUGGCAUCCUCCCUUUGGAACACCUUCCCAUCAGAUAUCAGUGAGAUAUAGAAUUACAUAACUUUUAGAAAACAUCUGAAGGCAGCCCUGGUUCAGGGAAGUUUUUAAUGUCUGACAUUUUAUUAUUUUUUAUAUUUUGCUAGAAGCUGCCCAGAGUGGCUGGGGAAACCUAGCCAGAUGGGUGGGGAAGAAGAAGAAGAAGAAGAAGAAGAAGAAGAAGAAGAAGAAGAAGAAGAAGAAGACUCCUUAAAUUUACAAGAAUCCUUUCAAGGGAAAACCAUCUCUGUUAAAGACCUGUUUGGUUUAGACAGAACCACAGAAUUGUAGAGUUGGAAGGGACCCCAAGGGUCAACUAGCCGAACCCCCUGCAAUGCAAGGAUCUCAGCAGCUGAAGUUUCUAUGACAGAUGGACAUCUUGAUGCUCUUUACAUUUUAUACCAGGAAAAAGAAACAUCUGAGGAGAAAGAUUUGACUAGGGAUGCAAAUAAGGUGUUUUAUUUAAAGGAUUCUUUUCCUCCAUGCACAGUUACAUUGAGUAUACCCAACUGGAGCUCUGAAAAUAAAUAGUUAAUAAUCAGCUGGACAUCCAGCUCUUAUAGUUCACAGACACUUUGUCCAAGCAGCAAGCCCUUGUGGUGCUGGAGUAUGCUAGAUCCUGCUUUGAUGUGGAAGGAGCGGUUGUAAUUGGUAGCCUCCUCUUGUGUAGAAUCAUUGAAGCGCAAGUCUGCUGUGAACUGCUUCAACUAUCAACUUAUGUGAUUGGCCAGAUUUAUCCCAAUGAAGAAAAUGCAAAAGGACCUACAAGUGACAGGGGCUAUAUCAUCACCAUUAUUUUGAUAGUUAAAACCAUGCUCCAGGUGGCUUACGACAGGAGAAGAUUUACAUAAUUACAAAAGUGGCCAUAAACAAUAGAUUAAGAAGUACACAACAAAAUUGAACAAUUGGCACACAUAUCAUAAUAAGAUCUAAGAAUAAAGAUUACAAAAAAUUAAUAUCAGUGGUAGAUGCUUCCCAAAAAAUACUUAGCUGUGUGAAGGCCGCAAUGUGGCUGAUUUUUUUUUAAUAAAAAAGUUCUUAGUUGUGGUCCAGUGACUGACACAUAGGCACGCAAUGUUGGGACAACAAUCUCUGUCAACUCACAUCAUGCUGGAGUGCAGACACUGUCUGCUUGUGGACCAUUACAUAGGCUAAAAGCCUUUCAAAGUGACAUGAACCAUGUUGAAAUCCUACACUUUUAAGUGCUUUCACACAAACUCCAUGCAGCUGUUAUAUUGAAUCUGUCAUCCAGGUUCACCCGCAGUGGUAAGCAAUAUCUUAGCUCCAAUUUGUAAUAUGUUGUGCUUUUCUUUUUAUCUUUUUCGGUGCACACAUGUGGUCUAUUCAUAUGAGCAGUGCAACAUGCAAAUCAGCAACUCAUUAAAGACAGUGGCAGAAACUUCAUGAUGAAAAGGAGCUCUGUGAUGCAGCCAAUGGAACAGAGGCCUGUGGCUGUUGCUGCUGUAUUCCAGGAACUGCCAACUCACGUUUUAAGCUGCCUAGGCAAGUAGGUCAGUCAGAUGAUCCACAGAUUUGUUAAUUGUUUCAUUCUGUUUGAAAGAACAAUAUGUGGAGGAAAUGGGAGAGUCCAAAAUCAACCUCGUUUCUCUGACAGAUCAUGUUUUCUGGCUUACAAUCUGAGCCAGGUUUAUGUUAUAGGAUGAAGCUUGGAAAUAACUACCAGCCAUCAUUGCCUUUUCACCCCAGAUGUGCUUCUGCCAUGAAUAAUACUUUCCCCUCUUAUGGACAGCGGCAUGUCUAUUCGAGUCCACAUUCGUGGGAAAGUGCAGAGAGGGCAAUGGGAUGCUGUAACAGCACCUCACCAAAUGUCACUGACACAUUUGCAAACAGUUUUUCUCUUUUCAUCCUUGUCGUUGAUAAAAAACAGAGUGAAAUGAGUCGUAAUUAAGAGGAUUCACCACAAUGUUCUCAACAUACACAUGUCCUCCCUUACCCAUCCUCAUGGACUGCCUAACAACAUGGAUACAUUUUUCUCCCCUCUUUUGUUGCUAGGUGAUGGAUGUACUGGAAGAGCAUGCAUGGCACACCCACCCAUGCCACACCCAUGGGCAAGGGCCAAUGGGCGUGGCCUGAAAUUUAACAUAGACAUGAAUGUAUAAAAAAUUGCUAUGCAAAACAUUUCAUUAUGUGAACUGUGUAGUAGAAUUAGUAAUCUUAGUCUAUUCAUAGACUAUUAGAUGGAUCACUUAUUAUUAGUGUCCAUAAGUUUUAUAUGGCUUGUAUAUAUUUAUAAUAGUAAUAAUAAAAAACCAAAAUCUGGGGAGAAAACUGGAUGAGAAUUGCGGAAAAAUCCCCAAAACAAAUUGCUGUGAAGGACACAUGGUUAUUUAAUCCAUCUUUUUGGAUCACAUUCUGUUUUUCCUUCCAUGUGUUCUUGUUAAUUUAAUCAUUGUAAUUGUAGGCAAGGACUCAUGAUACAUUUUUGCUUUGAACCUCAAUAUUUUUAGGCGAGAUUUUCCAAUGUUUCGUCUGUUUUGUGUUGCUGCAUAAAACAGACUGGAUGCUGCCCUAAUUAGCCACCAAAGUAUUCUUUUCCAUAGAGUGAACCGUUGGGACAAGAGCAAGAACGCGGUGGUUCCUCUGCCUUCUCUGAAAUCCCACAGGAGGGUGGAGAUAAGCAACAAUCCAGGGCUAAGUCUUACAGUGAAUGCUAUUAGAACAGGUGCAAUAUGCAACACGGCAACAUGCUUUAGACAUCACAGUGAGUAGGCUUAUGGUUCUUUCAAGUCAUAUGAGCUUUUGUGGAACAGCCUUUAGAUUGGCUGCAUUCUUAUAUCUGGUCUGCCCCCUAUUAUGCUCUUGUUGUUACAUGGUCAUAACAUUGACUUGAUCUUAAUAAAGUACAAACUCCUGAGCUGUGCUUCAGUGACUCUGUAGGAGCACAAGGACAUCAAAAUGAAGGCUGCAGUUCUAAAUUCAUUUAAGGAGCUGGUCAUAUAGAAGUCAAUGCAAGCUGAUUAAAUUUAUAUAUGUAUGUGUAAGCACAAAUGCACGCACUGUGAUUUUAGUACUAAACCGAGAGAGAGAGAGAGAGAGAGAGAGAGAGAGAGAGAGAGAGAGAGAGUUUUGUAAAGAAAUCAGGGCUAUGCAAAAGUGCUCAAUCCCAAAUUCGCCACCACCACAUCCAUGUGACAAAAAUGAAGAUGCCAUUUUAGCUGAUUUUUCAGGAAAUGACAAAAUUCUUUCGGGAGGACAAGAACUCACUGCUGGUGGUUUUUGAAGCUCCUCCUGGUGCCACCAGCUAAUAGUCAGCAUAUACUUUCCCCCAUAGCUCCAGGACUAAAUGAUAAAUGAUGACCUAGCAUUGUCCUGACAGGGAUGAAGCUCCAAUUUCGCAACUCCAGCUCCCACUUUACCAUGAAGUUUUGUCCAGCUUCUCUCCCCCACCCAGACAUCAGAUUUUGAACUAAAAAAUAUCAUACAGAUUUUUUUGGCUGUGAGCGCUAGAAUCAAUCUUGUUAAAUAUAAUCUGUGUCCCCGUUAUCUGAUAUAAUAUUGUGGCAGUGCAGACAGUUCUGCCUCUCAGCCAAGCAGAAGCCAUUCUUCAAAGUCUAAGGCCACACCUGUACCAUGAAUUUAAGAUGCUGUUACACCACUUCAAGCCCCACUCCACUUAGAGUUACAAUUAACAGUGCGGUUUAACAAUCCUUCUUCUCAGUGAACUCUGGAAAUCAUAGCUUUGUGGGGAGGAGUAUGGCUCUUCUAUUCCCAGCACCCUUAACAAACAACUCUUCUCAGGAUUCUGUGAGGGGAGUCAUGACUGUUUAAAGUGGUAUGGUACUACUUUAAAUAUGUGGUGUGGAUUUGACCAGAGUGCACCUCCAAUGGCUAUCAUUGCCUAGAUUUAAGUACAUGACCACUGCCUGUUUGCAUUUAAUGAGAGAGGUUUUCUCCAAUAAAAAAGCAUGCACUGCUUUGAAGCUGAAGGGGCAAUACGUAUUUUACACAAUUCCUCAUGGAGAUAGUAAAUUUAAUGUGGGGUGUGUGUGUUUAGUGCCAGAAGUGAAUAUGAAGCUAAUGACUACAAAUUUCACUGGAAUGAAUGGAAACCCACAUUAUAGUUUAUUUCUGCUGACAAAUGAAUUUAUUAAAGAUCAGAAUCUUUUGGCAAGGAGGUGGAAGAGCUGAGCCUUGCAUAAGAGAAUGCUUGGUGCAUCGCUUGUAGUAAAAGAUCUGUCACUUUCCAAUGAAAGCAUUCAAAAUAAGGGUUGUAUCCAGCUACGUCGCAGAGUAGACUUUUUGAAACCAAUGGACUUGUUAGUUUUGCCCAUUGAUUUCAAAAAGUCUACUCAGAAUGUGUGUGUGUAUUUUGCAACAUGUCUUUGAUGCUGGCUUCUUCAUGGCCUUGGAGACAGAGGCAGUGUCAGCACAGGCCUAGGAUCUGAUUUACUCUCAAUUGCCUCUCCAGAAGGAGGAGGCUUCUCCCUGACAGGAGGGGGUUCUGUGGGAGGUUCCACAACAGGAGAUGUCUGGUGCUAGAGGGCAGAACAUUCGUCUGCCAGCCUACUUGGUCCCUCCCUGGAUCCAGUCCCUAAAUGACCAGCCCCCUCCCCAAGCUUAGACACCUCUUGGAGUCCUGAUUAGACCUAUGCCAUCCCAAUAAGGACCUUCCCCAGGGUUGUCCUAGUUCUAACUACCCAAGCACCUCCCAUUCUUCUUCUGGAUCUGACCAUCCACUCCACAACAUCUUCAUGGGACUCAUGAAAAUAGAUUUCUAUUCAAGUAUCCAUCUAUGAAUUUGUCUUUCUUAAUUGUUAUGCAAUGCGUCCCCAGUGUCAUCAUAUUAUUGUCCUCUAGAGUGGCUGUCUUGUGCUAUAGUGCAGGAAAAGUGGGACAACACACACACGCAUCAUUCUUUGGAAGAUUUGUGGUAUGAAAACAGGAUUUCAGCAGGAAGAUACAGGACAUGCAUUGAUUGGAAAGGAAGCAGUAUGUCCACCCCAAAACCUUGCAGCCAUGGAAAAUGGGAUUGAAUAUGAGUCCAAAUCACCAUGGAUUACAAUAAAAAGGACAUCUGGAGGGGCGCACUGAUGCCACUGACAUUUAUGUAUCAUGAGACAUUCCCAUCUGAAGUUGUAAUGCCAAAAGAUAUAAUCAAACCCUCCAGCCAAUAUAAUGCAUGUGUGACCAUGUCUAUUCUUGAUUUGAAAACAAUGGACUGCACCUUCUCUGAGCAUGAAGUCCCAGGAAAAGCAGAGGUGAGAAUUCUUCUUCAAAUAAUCCCCAGCGUGACAAACACAAAUAGCUGCUGAUUUUUCGCAUUCCUCGUGACCGCUUUCAAAGUCCGCUGACGUUACCCUCCAACCAUCUCUCAGCGGAGGGCCAGUGAUUAUAACCGCAGGAACACCCUCACUGUUUCCUUUGAUGAAGAAUCAUAAAGACAGGAGGAAAUGGCAUGACAACAGUCUAAGAACCACCAGAGCUUCUUUUCCAAGGUCUGACUUUUGUUAUGGCAUUUGGGUGAACGGUUAUGUAAAUAAAUAUCCCGUACUUCCUCUCAUUAAGCUCACUUUAUGUCGGAAGCCGCAGCUUGCGAGACACUUUGAUAUUGAGAGCGUCAAGUCUAGAGUGCUAAGUAUGAUUAUAGUUCAGAGUUGUUUAGCUCUGCAAAUGACAAGAACCUUUGCUAGCCUCUUUGACCCCAAAGUAGCAAUUAGGAAAGCUCACUGUAUGGUAUAUAUCACAUAAUUAUCCUUUCCCCACCCAGACACUAGUUUGGUGCCUGUUAUUAUUACCAUUUACUAAAAUUAUACUCUAUCUGACUAACACCCUGUCACUUCUCAGAUUUGCAACCAUGUCAGCAUAUUGAAAUGUUUCACUUAGAAGAAGCUGUAAAUAGCCAUUAAGACAGAUUGCCCCUUUACCUUUGCUUUGUGGUCUUCUACUACAAUAUCAGAGCCCAUGGUUCUGGAGUAGUGAUCCCCCCGCCCAUGUCCUUUUUAUUGUGCAUUAAUGAAGAUUUAGAGUUAUGAUGGUAUCAGGGAAUAUGCAAAAAUCCUCUUUUUUGCAAAUUGGUAUGCAAAUUCCUAUUUUUAACACUUUGUCCCUGCAAAGGUUUUGUAGCUGACAUACUGCUUUGUUUGUGAUCAGUGCAUGUCCUGUAACUUUCUGCUGAAAUCCUGUAACUGUUCAGGCUUCUGUUCUUCUGUUUAUUUUGUUAUGAAUAUUGCAAAUGUUACAGAUCUUGGCCAUCAUGAACCAGUGGAUCACAUCUACAGUGUGAUCAGAAUCAAUUUAGGUUGUUUCAGUUGACAGUCUGAAUGGGUCUGCUAAUUCUGGUCUUACUUAGAGUAGAUCCAUUGAAAUUAAUGGACAUGAUGAACUUCAACCUAUUAAUUUCAAUGGCUUCUGAGUAAACCUUAGUUGGAUGUAACCCAGCAAAUGCUUAUUUCCAAUGGAUGUGAAUACUGAAAUAUCAAAAACUAUUUCAGAUCUAGCUACUCUAAUACGAAGAGACAGUAGGCUGCACCCAAAGGUUCCUUGUAUUUAAUGGAGGAAUCUUCGUCCAAAAGUCAGUACAGGACAGUAAUAACUCAAACUAUUGUUGCUAAUUAUUUGGCCCCAGAGAAAAUCCAUACACAGUUACAGUUAGGCAUGACUAUGCCCAUUGAGGUCACAACAUGCUGCAAAGGGUUUUUUCCCCAACAGGAGUAAGCAGGACAUACCUUCCAAGAGGAUGUGGCCCAAAUCUGGGACACCAUCUUCUAGAUCAGGAAUUCUGUGCGAGUCACUUAAUUGUGCAAUCACAGACCCAGAAAAAGCACUUUUUAAGGCACAGUGCCCCAAAACGCACAUUUUGGGAGUUGCACAAGUUUGCAGACCCCCUAAAAAUGCUUUUUUCGGGGUGAAAUCUUGGCCCAAAGCCAUGAGAAAGCAAGGCACCCCAAAUGGCUGCCAUGCUGUAGCUUGAAAAACAGGAUGUCCCAGUUUUUCCAGGGCAGUUGACAGGUAUGGUAAGGACAGAUUUAUCACAUAUCCAGUUAUCUAUCCCUUCCUUUCUCCAGUAUAAGUGAAUGACUAUUAAUCGCUAAUAUGGAAGAAGGAAGGGCCUUGCUUAGCGACAACACGAUAAUGGUGGCAAAUCUGCUUACCAUCCCUGAAACAUGUGGCCUGUCCUCCCCUAGCAAUGAUGGGGUGCAAUGUUUCUGUACAAAGACCCUCUGUUCCCAUCCUACCUCUCACUCACUUAACACACAGAGGUUUACAUAUACAGCCCAUCAAAAUGAUGGGCACCUCACCGGUUUAAAAUAAUUGCAAGGGGUUUUGUUCUAAUUAAUGAAAGUGAGAGCAUGAUAACAGUAGUUAGAUCUACCCAAGUGCAGGCAGACACACAGCAAGCUUCAAAAACACUUCUGACCUAGCAGAAAUAAUUGCCCUAUUAUCCCAGACCUGGAUCUUUGUUAAGAAGCUUAUGAGGAUACCAUGCCAAAUUAUGUGGUGGUUUUAUAUAACGGAGGGUAGACAGAUGUUUACUUGGAAAGGUUAAAGGGAUAAAAACUCCAUUUGCUUGUGAUCUAUUUGGAAGUGAAUUCAGUCCCCCGCCGGUGAUAGCAAAAAUAUAUUAUUAUUAUUAUUAUUAUUAUUAUUAUUAUUAUUAUUAUUAUUAUUAAACUACUCAUUCUUCACCUGGUUUUGUAAUUUAAUAAAAUGUACAGGAUAUAUUUCUGCCCCUCUUUUACCCAUUUGGUGCCACAAUGCCUGUGUUUGCAGUUCAAGGGGAUUAUCUUUAAUAAAUGCACUGAGUCUAUAGUGCAAAGGGGAAUAUUCAGUGAAAUAGCUGUUCAUGAGAAAAUAAAAGAAAUCCGACUUUUAUUAAUUUGAUCCCGACAUCAUUCUCUUCAUCUGAACCCUAUGUAACGUUAUGUUAUGUUAUUUUAGAUGACCUGCCUCCAUUUUGCUUAUUUUAUGUAUACUUUAGUUCGUUUGGGAGCUCUAUAUUAUAAUGAAAAUCUGUUCAUACAGUGGUAAUCUAGGAAAACAUCGCCAUGUCACUUCUCAAAUUUCUAUCGUUUUUAGUUUCGUGAAUUAGAAACUUUGGGUGAGUAUGGGGAGAAUGAAACAGUCCUGUUAAGUUUGCUUGCGAAAACAAGGUGUGGAUACAGUUCUCCUUCUUGUGAGGUUUCAGCUGGAAAGAAUUGCAUAAGACACUCCAAAACAAAUAAAGGCAGGAGAUAAGUCGGAACCCUGAUAGCAUCAACAUUCUUAAUAUAAACUGAUGUGCAUAAAUGCCAUGUUUCAUGACUCAGGCUUCUCCUUACCCAAGGAUGGGAUGGAAUUGCCUCAGAGGAUCAGGAUCAUUCAAGAAGAGUUUCUUUGUCUCUUUGUGCUCUUUGUAUUUCUUAUAGAGUUGAGGGUGGAUAUUAGCGGGGUAUGGAAGCAGCGUAUUAAGCCCAAAGUUGCACCAGCAAUACUCAGGGCAGCUUCUGCCAGCCCCCGUAAAUCUUAGUAAUUUUUAAAAGAAAAUUUUAAAUUAAUUUUAUUGAAAUUAUUUAGAACAUCCGAAAUCCAAACUCGGAGAAGUUGAGGGUGAAACAAAACAUAGUAGGACAGCAAGAAGCAGAAUGGACUCAAAUGUCAUUUUGUUCAUGCUUCUUAAGAAUGGACUCAUAUGUCAUUUUCUCCAGACGUACGGAAUUUCCUUAAAAAUAGUUCUUUUGAGAGUUUGCAAAAGAAACUCAACAAACAACUCUGCCCAAAAAAGGUUUUGUGUCCGGAUUUUCAGUUUUUGAAAUAUGGCAACCCUCCUUCAUACCUCUUCACAAUUAAGAGCUCACUUUUAAGAGAUGCUCACUUCAAACCAGCGAGGUGCCCAAGCUAUUUCCAUAUUGGGAUCUCAUGCAUAUCUUUAUAGGGGGAACUAUGAAAGAGCCAUAGCUUUAACUGCAGAAGGUGCAGGCUCAAUCCAUUCCUCCCGCCACACCGAAACUCCUUUUAGGUUUCUUAGCAUACAUUGUCUUCCUCCACUUCCGCCACCCCCCCCCCAAAAAAAAUCAAACUGGCUCCACACUUUUACUGGACAGGUUGGUUAUUACUCCUUUGGAUAGACAGUGGCUCAGUUUUCCCCCAUCAGACCAAACCACUUUGCAUUAGAAGAACAUGUAGGCCAUGAUAUAAUGCCAGUACAUUAUAUGCAUAUAAGAAGGCGCUCAUGGGGUAUCAUGUUAUUUAUUGAAUAUUAGUCCAGUAUGUUUGGAAAAUUGGUAUAUAAAUUGUUGUAUAUAUAGAAGACUGUGGCUUCCAAAACCAAUUCCAUGAAACAUGGAAAGCAGGAGUGCUCCUUUCCCUGAAGUGGGACACAGGAUUGACUUUGCCGGCAUGUUUGUACUCUACUGACCUCCCCACCUCCUAACCUCUCCCAUUGCCAGUAAGCAACAGCUCACCUGCCAAGAAGCUGGUACAGCAUCUCCACCCCAGCCAUUUAACCCUUGCCCUUCCUAAAUGAUACACCUCUCUAAAGUUCUGUGCUGCUUCAGAAUUAUAAAACAGUUCAUAUGAUACGAAUGCAUAUUUUUAGUAUAAUGUCAGAAACAUGCUUACAAUGCUAAGGUUAAUGCUGUAAGAAGAAGAAGAACUUUCACACUGGUCAACCUGACUUCUAAGAAGUUUAGGCAUUGUAAUAAGUGUUGUUUUUUAAUGUGCUACUUUCUCAGAUGUUAAGAUUAAAAGAGGAGACUAACCGGCUCAAAAUGAAUACCUACUGGCUUUGUCUAGAAAACUUUUAAUCAGAGCAGUCAAUUAGAUGAUAGAUUUACAGCGUCUGGUUUCAGGAAUGAAGCAGCUGACAAUUAACAUAAAGAUUCAGUGCUUCUUCCCUUACAAUGCAAGGGACUGACAAUUUGGCCAAACUCAUCGUGUCUCCGUUUCUUGCAUGUGAGACUCAGUGAAUAUUAUACCUUGUAAAUGUGAAAAGUUGCAGAGAUGCUGAAUGAUCUGCCAGUAUUUGAGGCAGGAGAAGUGGGAUACCUAGCCAGAUGGUUAACUAGCAUAUUUUAUGUUUUACAAUCGCAGAAAGUUUCUUGCCUUUUCUGAAAAUAACUUGUUUAUAGCCUAACCUAAAUUGGUCUCAGCUAGCACACAAGUUUUGGAAGAACCCUAGCUCAGGAGGUAGAACAUUAUGCCUUGCAAAAGGCCCCAUGUUCAAACUCUCUUUUUCAUUGUGCAUUCAAGAUUAUUCAUGAUCAUGAUGUCUUGGGGUCCUUCUACAUGAUCCUGCCAAAGGUGACAGACAUACUAAUUGGCUUCUAGUCCAUGCAUGUUUGAUACCCAGGCUGAAAUCCUCCAACAUUUUAUACUACAAAAGUCCUGGUUUAUUAUUAUUUUUGUUCCACUUUCGUCAUGCUAUAGUGCAAGAGUAUCCUUCCAGAUCUCAAUAAUGCAAGAGCACUGGGGAAGCAUUGCACAACAAUUAAUAAAGUGGAAUUAUGAGUACGCAGUAAAUAUCAGCCACCAACACACUAUGAUUGUGUCAUGUUACAGAAAAGACUAAUAACCUGGAUGGGCCUUCGUUCAGUACAAGGUAAUUUAGGAUAGGAAAUUAACAUGAAAUUGAAUGAGAUAACAAAAUCUCAUCAUGCCUGUGUUUAAGUGCCCAUAUUUAGGACUGCCACACAGUAAUUAACUUAAAUUUGGAAAAUCUUCCAUCUGGGAUGAAUUACUCUAUCGGCCUUAUUUAAUUCUUUAUCAAACAAAAUAAAAAGAAAGAAGAAAUAUGUUCUUCUGGCAUCUCCAUCUCUUUAUUAUACGUGAACGACAAAUCAAACUGGAGGCUUCACAGUAGCUCUAUUUUGGUGAAGUGCUUUUGGAUUCCCCCACACUUACAGGAUGUCUGGAAUUCAAUCUAUUCAGGAUGCUUGAUUAUAAAAACAUUAGCCGACAAACCCAGACAGGAGUUACCAGCAGUAUAUUUAAAGGGGAUCAAAAAACAGACUGGGAGGUAAGACAAGCAAGCAGCUGAUGACAAGAAUACUGUUCAUGGAAGGCUAUGUAUAUAUAUAUAUAUAUAUAUAUUCAUUGUUGAGAAACUUUAAAUAGCCAAGGACAAAUGCUGCCCGGUGUUAUUUAAGAACUGGACCUGUAACUGGAGCUAUCUCUGUCUUCACCAUAGUUGACACUUAUUGCGUUAGGUUAUUGUGUAAGCCUUACUAAGCCCUUCUUCCAAGAAUUUAUCAUCCGUCCAAGAAACAGCUCUCAGUUUCAUUUGACCAUUUUGAGUUCAAUGUGGCUGGACUUCCUCUCUUAUUGAGCUAGUCAUUUUAAUUCUUUAAAAUCAAUUUCACUCAGUGCUGAGUAAUUGGCAGACAUGGGUGGAAUUCAGCUUUGUGAUAAUACAAUUGUUCCCAUUCUGCUUGCCAGAUGGAAUGAUCAUCCCUCUCCUUCCCCCUCCAGGCAUUGCUCUGUGGGUUCUCCUGUUCCUCCAGAGAGUACAGAAUGGGGUACAGAUAAAGCUUAGGACUUUCUAUCCAUGACCCUUGAAUUGGAGCCAUAUUUCCUAUCUCUAGGCCACACCUCUCAAUGGCUCUCUUCAUGAACUCUUGCAUAUCUGUAAAGUAAACUGAACUAUGGUGAUGUAAACAAUAGUAGUAGACCUCUGACCAUUCUUAUGUGUGUACAUAACACUUUUGGGGUUCCAAAGUUUUUUGUUUUUAUUUUUUACAGUAUAGUGAUUUUGAGAUUGCUCCCAUUGUUAAGAAGCAGGGGAAAUGCCCAGUGAAGUGUAUAAAGUUAUUUUAAUCACUGUGGUGUUCUGAAAGGUGUCAUGUUAUCUUUAGACAAUCGGGAAAGCCUAAUCCUUCAGCUUAAGGAAACAUUAGGUACUUGGCACUUCUUUUCAAGAUCUCAGCUUGUUUUCUGCUACAAGUUAGUAUUAAAUUAAAUCGCCAAGCAAUCUCAGGGCUGACAAGCAGAAGCAGAAGAAAGAAGAGGCUAUGAAAUCUUCAAGCUUUUACUUGUAUCCCCCCACUCCCCCAGUGACUAAUUUGCAGGGUACAUUUGCUACUUUCAAGGUCAAAUUACACAUUUGGAAGUGAUCUGAAGGCUGCCCUGUUUGGGGAAGUUUUUAAUAUUUGAUGAAUUAUUGUAUAAUAUUUUGCUGGAAGCCGCCCAGAGUGGCUGGGGAAAUGCAGCCAGAUGUGUGGGGUAUAAAUAAAGUAUCAUCAUCAUCAUCAUCAUCUGUCUUUUUGCCAGCCUACGACAUCUGGACUACUAUACCAUGCAGAUUACCAUAACAAUCAUGAUUAGACUUAUAAGUAAUACCGUAUUUUUUGCUCCAUAAAACACACUUUUUUCCUCUAAGGGGAAAUGUCUGUGCGUCUUAUGGAGUGAAUGUGUGGUCCCUGGGGCUGCGCUUCCCCCACCGCCAGCCUUUCCGCUGCUCCCCGACCUGCUCUUUGGGUCAAGCAGCUCUGGGGUAGCCUGUGAAGCCUCCGCAGGGCAGCGGGGAGCCUUCAUCCCGCUGCCCUGGGGAGGCUUCGUGCGGCUAUCCCUGGCUUUUGCGGGAGGUGGGGGAAGGGACAGAGCAAGGCUCUCUCACUUCCCCCACCUCCCGCAAAAGCCCCCAAGAGCCACAUAUAUUUUUUUCUUGAAUUCCCCCCCCCCAAAAAAAGUAGAUGAGCCUUAUGGUCAGGUGCACCUUAUGGAGCGAAAAAUACGGUAUAUUAAUGAGACAAUCCAAAGACAGCUGAAUGGUGGCAGGGCAAGGUUGAACCACUGCUGCACCUGCCAACCCAUUGCCCAUCCUGGCCAGGGUGGGAAGUGGGUGGAAGCAAACUGCUGUGCCAGCAUGGAGCUGGUGCAGCGAUUGCGCCUAGCUCAGACCUGACGCCAUCAAGUGACAGCAGUGGAGGCAGCUAAGAUACUGAUGGCUCCCAAAGCCAGCUUAAUCUCUCCCUACCCCAGUACUUCCUGUUUUGAAGCUUCCUGCAAGCAGAGGCCAGUGGAGGCUGGCAGGGCUUGGCACAGGGCCACUUUGGUGCAAAGGGGGUUUGGAUUGUAGCUUCAUGUACUCUCAUUAACAUUGCCAUAUUUUGCAUGAUUAAUAUAUCACCUGUGUUUUUGGUUCUUAAUCAUUUUAUUGCUUUAUAUUAUGUUUUAAUUCUUUUUGUUUUGUGAGAUGCCCAGAGAAAUUAUAUUAUGGGGUGGAAAUAUAAAUUCAUCUAAUAAACAAAAUGUCAUUUGACUGUUCCCCACCCACAGCCAUUCCACCUGACUGCAUCAGAAGGAAAAGUGAGUCAGCCAGACUCCUUCCAUCAGUUUGGACCAUAUGUCUCCUCUUCUCUACAGUACCUGAAUUUGCUUCUUUUCCUUUCCCCUUCCUAACCCAUUUCUUGUAAGCCAUUUAUUUGUGGACUGUCUCCAGAGCAUUCUAAGAGCUGGUAAAAUAUAGGGGGAGGGAGGGAGAGAGAUUUGGGGCAUGUAAUUUCAUAUUUCUGACAUUACCAGAUGAGGAUGGAUAAGUGCAGCAGACGGAAUGAACUGAGGACACGAUCCUCUCACAUGAAAUUCUGGUUCUCAGUUGGGUUCGUCGUUGCUCCUCCCUUUCCCCAAUAGUUAUUGCUGGGCUCGCUGUUGUUGUCAGUUAAUGAUAUUGUUCCCUGCCAGCCCUUGUUAUGGAUGAGUGAGAUAUUUAUCUCACAGACCUAUGGUACAAACUGAAAGCACUGUAACUCAACUAGUGUGCCACUGUGGAAAGUUUGCUGGGCUAUGUCAUAAACUGUCUUUCAAAAAUUUGGGAUCUGAUCCCAUGUGAAUUACCUUUCGGUCCCAUUGACACUGGUGAAACUCUACAUUCUUAACUCCAAGUAUUUUAGCUGAGUAGUAAAUUGUGUUGUCAAUCUAUUUCAUGGAAGAGUAUUGGUGAAAAGAAACGGAUUCAACAGCAAAGUGGAGCUUACACAAGGAACACAGAUGGUCUUGAAAAAAUUUUUACAUUACCUCUGAGUCUUCAAAGUACAGCCAUGAUUCCACAAGCGCACUUUGUUCUACUCACGAUUAAACACAUAUGGUAACAAAAGGUAUUAAGAUUUUUUUCCUGACAUAGGAAAUCAUACUCUGCUUUACUAUUGCGGUAAUAACAACUGGUCUCAAGGGUAUGAAGAUUGCUUGGCUUAGACACUAACCAGAUGCAGUGAUGUCAAGCCCAGAAAACACACUGGAGUAAUAUUGCCAAAAUGCUCAGCAAUGGGUUUUAGGUAAUGCAAUAUAUAUGCAAUGUGUGUUAAAAUGCUGGAGUCUGCAUGAUGCAGGUAUUGUUUAGACACUUUGAGGAAAUGAUAAGAUUGUAUCUAACUGAAUUACAGAAAUUAUGUGGGGAAACAGUUGGGGAAAAGUGGUUUUAUUCACAUGGAACCAUGGAGUCUCACUUCAAACAGCUAUAUGGUACAUUCUGCUAUUCAUCAGAAGGAUAUUCUGCUAUUGUCAGAUGCAGAGUAUUAAUAUUUUUUUCUAAAACAAUUUCAUAGAUCAUUUACAUCAGAGAAAGAGCCAGUGGGGCCAGAUGGUCCAACAGAAGUAAUUAAUCAUGUUACCAUUUGAGCACAGGUCAGACAAAUAGUAGUUUCCUUACUGUCCCAACAAAACUCCUAUGAAUGAAUGAAUGGGUUGGUCCAUAUGCUUACUCUAGUAGUAGAGGACAUGGUCAGGUGAUUCUGCUUACCUAACCUAUGGAUGGUUGUGUCACUGCUCACAAGAAGAUAUACAGUGAAGGGAGAGGCAGUGAGGUUGGCAUGGUGCAAACACACUGGCUGAGAAAAUCCAGUGCUCUUGCUGGUGUGUUUGCAUUGUGCUGACCUCAUCAAAACAUCUCCCUUCACCCUCCCAGUAAGCAGCAGUGAUGUGACCAACCAGAGGUCAGGUGAGCAGGUCAGCCACUAGUGGUUUACUCUCUUCCUUGCUGACCACUUUCUUUCUUCCUUUGCAAUAACCCACCCACCCACCCACCCACACAAUCUUUCUUCCAACGUGGAACCCAAAGUGGUAAACAUGUCAUUCUCAGAUGGCUUUCCAUGUAAGAACAGACCAGAUCCAGAUCUGCUUAUCUCAAGCAGGGUUCUGGCCCCCUGCACCAUCAAAAAGUACGGUGGACUGUACUUGCAACAAAAGUCCCCCCCCCUCCAGUCACUCACCACAUACACAAGUCAAAAUUUUGCUCAUUAUUGACACAUCCAUGUUCACAAAUGAGCAAAUAAAAUGGUGGUGUGUGACCAAGUUCACUAGCAUGCAUAGAUUCUGUAGCAGCUGGGAUGGUGGGGCAGAGCUACUGAGCUGCCUUCCCAAAACUGGUGGCACUGUAGCUUACCUGGAUGGGAAGGGGGUGCAGAGGAGCAGCAAAAUAUGAAAAUAGGAUUUCUAAUAUUCUCUGUCUUGUUAUAAGGUGCUUUUACAGAGCAGUUUACUCUGGACUCAGUGCAACUCAUAUGCUGUAUGCCAGUUUUUCUCAGGUCAGAAUCUGCAUGGUAUCACCCUCAUCAAAAUGCAUUCCAUAUUUCGCUUCCUGCCCUAAAUUUAAUCUAGAUUCACCAUUUCCACAGGUUUCUUUCUUUCUUUAUUGGCUUUUCCGUGGAAAUGGGAAAUCUGGAUUAUUUGAGCAAAUAAUAAGUGGCAACACUUUGGUAAGGAUGUGACUGUGCUGAUGCAGUGAUAAAUGGCCUUGUGGAAGUUCCCAAAUGCUCAUAACUGCAGUUAUAUAGACUGAUAUUUCUGAAGACAUUGUGUGCUGCAGUUCUAGCAUAACUCUGCAUGAGAAUUGCAAUAAAAAUGCAAACUUAUAACAAGAAAAACUGUGUUAUCAGUCAAGAAUCACCAAACCCAAAAUAUUUCUGUUGGUGCAAAACAUACAUUGCAUAUCUAGUCUACAUAAUUUAUUUUCAGACCACCUUGCAUUUCUACCUCUCAGAGUCUGAAUCCAUGAAAAGUUUAUUAUUAUUAUUCUUUAUGUUUCCUGAGGCAAUACAAUUUUCUCUUCACACCACCAAAUGUAGCUUUUAAUUAAAUCAAGACCUCAAGCAGAGCAAAAACACUAGACACGUGUAAACUAUUUGAACGGCAAAUGCAAGUGUUCUGUACUUUCCAUUUGCUGCUGGUUGAGGAAAAACAACAACACUUUCCUUUUAAAUGCUGGCAAUGCACAUCCCUCCAUAUGCAUAAUGUGCAAAAGGAAAAGCCACAUAUGUCUGGGUUCAAUAGGUCUGAGCUCACUUUUUUUUGUGGCAGAGCCAAGCCACAUAUACGUGAAAUACAAUGUGUACAGAUUUUUGCCCAGUAUUGAUUCCAGCCGUAGGGUAAUGAUACUUAUAAAACUGUAGCUGUCUAAUAAGAAAUGUAUUAAGAACCCUUUCUAGGUUCCCGCAUGGUCAUAGCAGCUCACAAAUGUCUAAGCUUAAAUCUACACCAUACUUUUAGAAGGAAAAUCCAGACAGCUAAUUUUUUUUCCCAGGCUGUAAUGGAAAUGUUUUAGCAAUAUAUGCAAAACUGGUGUGUGUCCCAGUUUCAGAAUGAAAAAUUCAAAGGAAAUCCAAUUCUUCCAUUCGUUUCAGUCCAAAUCAUUAACUGUUUCAUGUUGUAUGACAGGAAAGGGAAAUUUCAAGCCCAGGGGCCAAAUGCCCGCCAGGUUUCACUAUUCAGUCUCUAGAAGUCAUCUUAGGCCCACACCCCUCCCGAGCCCACGUCGAGCAUUUUUGCCUGACUGGAAUGAGCCCUUUAUGCUUCUUGCAUAAGUGAGUAGAAACUAUUGUACUGUACAAAGGUAAAAUUUACAUUUGUUGAUCUUCCCACUUUUGCUUUUGGCCCCAUCCUUCACUAGCAUGUGGCCCUCAGAAGGUUGAUCUGAAUGGAAUGUGGUCCUUAGGCCUAGAAAAGGCUUUCCUUUGGCACCAACCAUGAUCUCUCUGUGUGUUUGUGGGAUUCUAGUAUCUGAACUAACCACACCAUCCCGCUAUCCUUCACCAUCCCUGAAACCAUUUACCACAACUGCAAUGGUAACAUAGGAAGCUCAGGGCAAGAUACAUACAAGGGCGUAUUGCAAUAGCAAGCCUUGAAGAUCCUACCUUUUUUGAGAUUCCCCUAUUAUAUUGGAUAGCUGUUUAAAAGGAGGAGGAGGAGGAGGAGGAGGAGAAAGCUCUUUCCAGUUUUUGAACUUUACACUGUUGCUGAGAGGCUGAUACAAAUUGGCACUCAUAGAGUAUCACUUGGAUGAGGUAAGUGGCUUUUUUUGCUCUCUUCCAUUUCUUGGAAGGAUAACACUGAGCGCAUGGUUGAGAGGCCUUAGCUAUGCUUUAAGGGUGUGUUUAAGCUCUCUAGGACCAAUUUCUGAGGCAAGAUGUCUAGGCAACUGAAUCAUUCUGCUCAUUAAAUGCGCAAUCUGGAAACAUCACCUGUCCAGCCUGAUCCCAUUUCCAAUAAUAGGUGAAGUCAAGACCCAUUCUCCUUAAGCGAAGAAGGGAAAGGAACACUGAUUCAUGUUUCCUUGACUCCUGUUUCCACUUUAAUGUCUGAAGUGAGAUUUCUGGAUUUCACUUGGAAGUCAUUUGUCCAUUCCCCCCACCCCACCCCCACUUUUGCUUCUUAGUAAUGUAUUGUAUAGUAGUUUAUUUAUUUAUACUUAAGGUUAUUUAGAAGCCAAAUUUCCACCAUAAAAGCCCUCAGAGCUGCAUCCAUGAUAAUUAAAAGAAUGAAACAAACAUAAAACACAUUUAAAAUUAAUUUAUCAACACAUCUGAAGUCUAAAACAACAGAUUCAUCAAGAAUAAAACAGUGUGGACUACUGUAAUCUUUAGAGUAUGGCAAGAUUUUCUAACAUAUAAUUUAGCAUGGGUUAUUUAUAAAAAGACAGGACAUUUCUACCAGAUUUUUUUCCCCUAUUAAAAAAAAAAAAGCUUUGUGGAACUGCAUAUGAUUACAUUUGCUCUGAUACGGAACACAAUUCUUCUAUGAAGCCAUGGCCUGGUUCACAUACAAUGCUAAACCAAAUCAUGGCUAAGUGUGAAUGUGGGAAUGUGCAGGUUCUUACAGCAAAAAUUGUGGCCAUUUCACUCCUCCCCAGUCUUGUGGCUGUUUUCCUACUCAGAGCUAAGAUGAUUUGGCUUUGUGUUAUGCCUGAAACCAGGCUCAUGGGUUCUCUCACUCAAGACAUAUUAUGAGCUAUAGCUUAGUUUUGUCCUUAGUUUACUGCUCUAAGGGCUACAAACCAUGAGCCUGGGUUCAAUGCAAUAUUAAACCAAACCAUGGCUUAGUUCCUGGAAGCACAACAGAACUGAGGGAGAAGGAAAAACUGUCACAACUUUUGCUAUUGAGUACAAGCAUGCUCACAUGUUCAUAAUUCACCAUGGUUAAAGAUAAAAGAUAAACAUUAUGUUUUGAGGUCCACAGCUACAAUUCACUUUCCUUGUGCAUCUUCAGAUAUCUGUCCUCGAUUUCUUUAUAAAAAACGGGUUUAGUCAAAUGAAUGGAUGAAUUAAAUGUCCUGCCAACUUAAAAACAGUAACACUGUGCCAUUUCCAUUCAAUUAAUUUCCUAAACAUAUUGUUGGAAGCAGAGCUGUACCAAGUAUUGGCUACCCACGCCUGUACAAAAAACUGUCUGACUGCUAAUUUAAUCAGGAAUUAUUUUCCUUCAGGCCAGUCUGUAUGAAUGGUGCUGGACACAGUAAGGACAAAUACCAAACCGAGCCUUGAAACAUAUUGUUUCUGAAAUGUAUUACUGUCCUUUGUCUGUGUUCAUUCAGGCUGGAUGUUUUCCUGAGAAAAUUUUCCUGUGCCUCCUUUUUUCCCAGGUCACUCAUAGACCCAUUGACUUCCUGCUGGUGUGAGACAAAUAUCUGGGGAGUCCUUCCAAUUGGAAACCAUAUUCUACAUUACUCAACUUUUCUCCCACCCCCUUUCCUUAGGUCUACUGUCCAAGCAGUACUAUAAUUAUGAGUACAGGGCAAACAAGCACUCCUUUUUAAAGUUAACAGGUUUAUCCCUCUGGUUUCUGUCCCUAGCUAACAGGCUCUCAGUAUGGAACCAGUGAGCUAUCCAGAGAUAUAGUUGCUGCUGAGUUAUAAUCAUCCCAUAAGACCUGGAACAUUAACCUAUCCUGAAAUGUUAGCAAUGUCUAGAUUUUGAUCCACCUCUAUCACCUGUGGCCCAGAGGACAGCUCUCGCAAGCUGUCAACUCACUUUGGCUUCUGCACUAAGUUCUGUCACAGGUUUGGGACAGUAUGAGAUUAAUCUGAAGGGGGUUAGAGUUGAUAUGUAGACAUGCCAUUAGAUUUACUGCAUAAGACUUGUUUCUUUACCCCAAAGCAUGCCUGAAUGGCCGUUUCCCACUGUUCCCGGAUCAAUACCACAGAAGAUGGCUUGGAAACAUGUAGUGUCUCUGAAGAGAAGGGAGAAUACUGUGGGGUCACUUCUAUGCUCACCUCAGAAAGCCAGGCUUUUGUUCUAGAUGCAUGAUGGCGUCUCUGUGAGCCAUGUGGGCUUGCUAGAGUGUUUAACCUAAUCCCCUAAACAGGGGAUUUCUGUCUACUAUAUGUCAGCUCCCUACAAAAGCACUUUUCUUCACUUUUACUCAUUCAAAGCAGUAAAGCUGAACCUCCUUGCUGAGGUGCAAUUGAAAAUGCGGUGCAAAUAGACCUCCAGAGGAAUCUGGGUUGAGUGAAUGGUAAUGCCUUGUGCUUCUUAUACAGCAGGAUAUUCCGCACAGUUUCCAACGCCAUGUGCAAAGAGGUGAUUUUGUUGGUUUCCCCUAAUAGAGUCCUGACUAAGGAGGUGAUUGCCUUUCAGGACAAACGGUUACAGCAACUAUGGUGAAAGGUGAUUAAAGAGUACUACACCGAAUAAUGUUUUGGCCUUGAUGUGGUGCCAGCUGGCAUGGAAGCUGCAGAACAAACCUUUGCUUCAACUUCUUCCCCUCCUGCUACUAAAAUCUUAUCAGUCUCUCUCUUUUUGCCUCAAGAAAGGCAUUUUUGCAGAUGUUUCAGGGAGGAUACAAUUAGCCCUUUUCUAUUGUAUUUGUAGGGACGUUAGGGCUUCUUUCCGGAAUGAAAUAACACUGCUUCUCUCGGGACUAUUACUCAGCCAGAGAGAAGGGUGUUCUUAAGGAGCUUGUUUGAUGGUUUUGCAAAAAGAUGAAUGAAACUGUUUAAAACAGAGCUGGGGCCGGGCACCCUCAUGAUUCAAGAGACCUCACAUUGCAAUUGGGCCAUGCCACGCUCAUAAAACAAAUUGAGAUCCAUGUGACAUCUUCUGUCUUUCCUUUUUCAAACUGCAGAAAGUCUGUCUUUUUUCAGAACAGAAAUGUAACCUCAAUUGCCAGAGGUGGAGCUUCCUGUAGGACUCUACUGUAAUCUUUUUUAAAAAGAUUGGGGAUGAAGUGGACAGAGGCAUAAAGUUAUCACAGUUCAGCACAUGUCCACUGUAACACUUAUGGUACACAUCAUUUUAUGACUUUGGUUAUAUUAUUAUUUAAAUAAAUUAUUUAAUUUAAAAAUCCACACACAAAUGAUUAAACAUGAUUCUGGUAACCAUCAUUUUAGCAACAUGGUUCAAGGCAGUGACUGGAAAGCAUGUUUUAGAAAGAAAGAAAGAAAGAAAGAAAGAAAGAAAGAAAGAAAGAAAGAAAGAAGGAAAGGUGAAUCAUAAUGUUGUAAUACUUGUCUUUCAUAGGAAAGCUGCCUCACAGACAGUAGCUGAAGAGUGAAACCAUGGAAGACAAGAAGAAAGGUAGGAAAUCUGUUAUUUCAUUUCCUGAUAGUACACUUUAAUGUGACUGAACCAUACAAAUCUUCUGUCACUUGCUUUGAAAACCUCUUUGGGUUAUAAAGCAGGAUACAUGUGUUCUAAAUAAAUUAAUAAAAUGUCAUGCUAUCACAGUUACUGAAAGACAAUGGAUGCUGAUUUCCCUUUUUGCAUUGUAGAAACAAGAUGCCCACUGGUGCUUGUGGAUGUGAUGUAAUGUGGAUUGUGAAACCUGUUUUCUGGAUCUUACAUACUCUACAAAGUCAUGUGCAAGACUUGGAACUAUAAAUGUUACCAUAAUAGACUGCAAAAGAGGUGGUUUAAUAAAAGCAAAUUGAAGUUGUGGCUUAUGCUUUAAGGCAGCCAAGCCAGGUGAUUCCCUUUUGGCAUGCUUUGAUUGCAAAACUGUAUGCAUUUUUUAUUGUAAAGAAAUGUUAUAAAGGUGUCAUAACCACUUCCAAAAUAUUAUGAGUGCUGGCUGUAAGCUACUGAGGUGUUUCUCAAGACUGUGAGUGAGAUUUUCUCUAAAAUUCAGUCAGGAUUUUGUUCAGUUGGGAUAUUGUUUAUUCUUUUUUAAAAAAAACAACAACCCUGUGCUUAAAUUGGAUGCUUAUACUUUGAAGGAAAAGCAGCCACAUGGGAUCUGAUCUGAAAAGCAUUCUUUAAAAAUAUCAUUUUUAAUUUUUUACACAUCUGAGAUUACUUGAAUCCCUGGACUUCCCCCCACCCCCACCCCUGGUUUCCAAUAUUUAUCUGUUCUUUCUGCUGCAUCUAAUUACAUUUUUCAAAUUCAUUUUAUAUCUAUUUUUAACUUUAGCCUUAUUACAUUAUAAGUGUUAUAACAAUCCUGCUAACGUUUUUAAUAUCUACAGUGAUCUUUAAGGUACUCUGUAAAAUUUUCCCACUCUUUACUGAAUUUCUUAUCAUACUGGUAUCUGAUCUUCACAGUCAUUUUUGCCAUUUUGGCAUAGUCCAUCAACUUGGUUAUCCAUUCUUCUUUGGUUGGGACUUUCUCUUCUUUCCAUCUCUGGGCAAAAAAGCAUUCUUGCAGCUGUUGACACAUACAUAAGCAGUCUUUUCAAGUUCUUUGGUAUUUCAUCUCCAAUUAUUCCUAAUAAGAAAGCUUCUGGUUUUUUGACAAAAGUUAUAGUAAACAUUUUUUUUCAAUUCAUUAUAUAUCAUUUCCCAGAAUUCUUUUGUUAUUUUGCAUGUCCACCACAUGUGGUAGAACGUACUUUCUUUUUCCUUACACUUCCAGCAUAAAUUGGUAGUGUUUCUAUACACUUUUGCUAAUCUUAUAGGCAGUGCUUUUUUUCUUAAAAAAUGUUUGGGGGUACUCUCAUUUUCCUACUCAUAUUGAAAUACUGCCCCUCAAUGAGGCCAAACUUAGAUUCACAAAAUGUUCAGGGGUGUGUGUACUCCUGCAUACCCCCAGAAAUAGCACUGCUUAAAGGAGUCAAGUCCCAAUGAUACAUCAUUUUCAUAUAGUUCUCUUUCAAUGUACAACAAGCUGAUCUGAAAAACAUUCUUGAUCCAGAAAUUUUUUUUUUGGGGGGGAUAUUGCUGUUUUCCUCUCAAAAUAAAGGUAGCCAGUUUAAGCUAUUUCAUAAUAUGUAGGUUUUGGGUUUUCAAGUUGCUUUGUAUCCAGGGUGAGGGCCAAACGUAACCCUUUGGACCUUUCCAUCCAGCCAUGGCAGGCACUGCUCCAUGCCCAUUUGGAAUACUUCUGCCUGGCUGAAAUUUAUUCUUCAACUGAUAAUGCCCCUUGUUUGCCUGGAGUGAUGUUUGCUUAGAAACCUCUAAGCUUUGCCAGAGUUGCUCCAUUGGCAUUUGGCCCCAUGAGGCAAUGUGGCCCUAAGGCUGAAAAACAUUUUCACACCCCUCUUUUAACAUCUUCAUUUGGGUCUACGUGGUAUAUGAAACUGCAAGACAACACCAGGCUGUCAAAUUUCAAGAUAAGAGGGCUUUGAAUCCUUGUGAGCUUUUGUUACAGCCAAAUAAAAUUCAUUCAUUUAUUUAACAACAAUUAUACACCACUUGGUUGUAAAAAGAAAACCCCCUCUAAGUGGUUUACAGCUUUGUAAAAUAAGCAUUAAAAGCAACCAACAACAACAACAACAACAAAAACCCAGAAGUGAUAGAAAAGCAGGAAGAGAUUUGGACUCCCCUUGUUCCACUCUCAGAGUGUUUUGAAAAUUUUCUGUUUUCAAAUAUAGCAAUUGUGAAUGCUUAUUAUCUAUAAGGAAAAGCCUGACUAUUUCUUUAUGGUUUAUCCCUAUUUGUCCCUAUAUGCAUUUUUCAUGAUAUGCAAUUAGUUUUCAAGCAGACCAAAAUUUGUCCACCUACUGGAUAAGUGUACCUGCCUCAAGUGGCAAGUUCCUGUCAAAAUGGUGGCUCUUUGCCCAGGGAAACAAAUUAGUCAUAUUUCUUCUCAAGAAAUCUGGAGAGUUUUCAAGCAUUCAUUAGUCUGCCUAUCCUUUGAAUAGCUCUGGCUCUAAUUCUCUUACUCUCUAGACAGGACAUAGAAACCCUAGAAUGAUUUGGUUUAAUUUAAUGAACUCCUGGAGAGGUGAAACAGUUGCCCUCAGUCCCAUCUGGUUUCAGGGUAAUGAAGGAAGAAAUCUGACUGGGAUUCCAUCUUCAGAUUUGUGGAUGAACGGCUAGAAUGCAGCAGUCCUCUCAAAUGUUACUGGUUUUCUAGUUAAAGUAACACUGUUUUGAUUUGGAAAACUGACCAUAAUAUAACAUUGUUCAAAUGUGAUACAUCCACCAAUUACUAUAAAUAAGACAGAGAAGAAUAAUGUGGGCAGCUUUGAAUGGGAAAAGAUGGGUCAAAGUUCUCCUUUUUUAUUUCAUUAAUUCAUCCAAUCAGUCAGUGCUUUUUUCUGGGGGGACACAUACCCCUAAACAUUUUGUGAAUACAAAUUUAAUAAAUACUACUACUACUACUACUACUACUACUACUACUAAAGAAUAGCAGUCUAGAGUCAUGGCCCAACUAUCAAGAAGGCCUGAUCUCUCAUCACCACCUGCUUAACCUUUGCAGAUAAGAACAUCUUAAAUGGGAUUUAUUCAGAUGAUGUCAGUGCAUGUUCAGACCUGUGAAUACACAAAUGGUCCCUGAAAAACAUGAGCUUUAUAGGUUAAAAUUAGUACUGUGCUGAAAAAUUCUCCCACUUUUCUUUGUUUCUUUACCACUGGAAAUUAUCAAUGGGAGAGGAAUUUUUUUGGUAAAAUUCUCAUGGGUGGUGCAGAGCUUGCUUGUGCCUGCCUUGCUUUCAAAGUGGCCAAGAUAAGCCUUCUUUCUUUCUGCAAAUAAUCUCUCUAGUGAUGUGCACUCUGCAGCCUUCCUGGCUGCAUGCCUUUACUUUUUUUAAAAAAAAUCCAUGUCAUUUUCAGCUGCUGAUUGUUGUUAUUUUUCUUUUAAGUGAAACUUUCUUACUUUUAAAGAAAUGAGUAUAGAAAGUUUUUCUUUGAAGGUUAAAGAGAAUGGACUUCCCAUAAAAACAGCAUCAGCAAGUGCACUGAUCUCAAGCAUAAGGUAGCUGGCCUGCCCAGCUUUCCCAUGCUUGAAAUUUAUGGAGUAACUCCUCCCAUGCAACUUUUUCAGAUUAGGAAGUGCAAGCAACCAGGGAGGCUGCAGAGGAAAAAACACACACCAUCCAUAGCCACCUUGCACCAGUAAAGUCAGUUCAACCUUUCAUCCCCCAAAUCCUAAAGGCAUUCUCAGGAAAUUCUAAAGCAUUCUGAGCAUGAGUUAAAAAAAUAAAGCCUCUUUCACAGGGAAGCAACACUUCUGAGAAAUUAGAGGAUAGGUUUUGGCAGAGGACUAAUUAAAAUCAACACUGAGUCAUGCUUAGAAACUUACGUUAACCCAGGUAGGCUGUUUCAAAAGUGAUGAAGUAUAUUUCAGGCAACUGUAACUAUCAGCAAUCUAGCAGCUAUAUUUUUUAUUUUUUAAAAAAUCAAAGUUUGAGCCUUCAAAGCAGCCUCAAACAUGACCCACUGCAGUAGAUUACAUACCAGCGUGGUACCAGAUUAUGUAUUUAGUGAGUACAGAUCUCUGUUUCUUAGUUCUCAGUACUACUUUGGAUGUUACAAUGCAAAUUCUGCUAACCACUUCCAAAGUCAUUUCUCCAUUCUAGGGCCAAGGCUUGUAUGUGAUGUCUGAAGGUUUUGAGCAUUGAGGUAUGUGAGCUGUAGACAUGAGUUCGGCCUCUGCAAUUUUCUUGUAGAGAUCAUUUCCAGACAUAACAAGCGAGAUCACCAGUCGUUUGCAGAAGAGACAUCACAGAACGUCAAUGUCUCAUGUUCAGAAUGUCAGAAGCCGCUCUCAGUCUCCAGUGGGAUUAGCAACAACCUAGCUGGCAAGAUUGCUUAAAGAGGAACAAAAACAAAGCCUCUUUGCAUAGUUAUAGCCUAGCGUCUCUGCCCUGUAAUGUGAAACAGAGUAAUAUGUAUUUAUUACAAAAUUGUUUAAACUUCCAAAGUUUAUUAAACAUAAAUAUAUAAUAUUACCAAGGCAUUAUUUUGAAAUGUUAAUUAUACCUUCUUUACGAUUUCCCCGGGUGCCCCUGGUUACAUUAAUGUUAGGGGCAAAACAAAGAAGUUAAAAUCUAAAGAGUGCUUAUUGCUACAAGUAACAGCAUGACAAGAAACCUGCCUUUCACCAGAAUGAAGUUCACCCUAGGCAAUGGCUGUUAGGCUAUCAAAGGGCAGAGUUCUAUUGGGAUGAGAUUUUAAGUAUAACAAAUUGUCUGUCGACAGGCUGAAAUGCCACACAGGGAUAGACUGUCCAUUCAAAGAGCAGAAACCUCACUUAUCCGACACAUAAAUGGGGAAAAUGUCCAUAUAACAUGCCAUCAGGCCUCUUCGAUUCAAGUUUGUGUCCCUGUGCAGGGAACCCAAUGCAUGUACAUCCAUAUGUACUUACAACAUUUGUUUGGGAAGGGUUGUAGCUCCGAGAUAGAAUAACUGCAUUGCAUGCAUAAGAUCCCAGGUUUAAUCCCUGCCAUCUCCAGGUAGGCUGUGUCUGAAACACUGGAGAGUUGCUGCUGAGCUAGGUGGACCCAAGUGUCUCACUCAAUAGAAGGCAGUUCCCUUUGUACCUAGGCUCCCUUCAAAUCGACACCAUUGCACAUCAGGGAGUGGCAUAUUGGUGUCUAGGAAGCAGCAAGCUACACCAUCCAGAAACCCUAUUACACAUUUGGUACUCAUUGGUACCAAAUGACUGAACUAUUGUUAACUGUUUUGAUGGUGUGACCACACUUGGAAUACUGUAGACUAUUCUGGUCACCUCACCUCAAAAAGCAUAUUGUAGAGUUGGGGAAAGGCAAACAAAAUGUUAGAGAAGAUGGAUCAAUGUUUGCAGCAUUUUUAGUUUAGGGAAAAGGCACGUGAGAGGUGACAUGAUAGAAGUUUAUCAAAUUAUGUCUGGCAUGGAGAAAAUGUACAGUGGUACCUCAGGUUAAGUACUUAAUUCGUUCCGGAGGUCCGUUCUUAACCUGAAACUGUUCUUAACCUGAAGCACUACUUUAGCUAAUGGGGUCUCCUGCUGCUGCCGCGCCGCUGGAGCACGAUUUCUCUUCUCAUCCUAAAGCAAAGUUCUUAACCCGAGGUACUAUUUCUGAGUUAGCGGAGUCUGUAACCUGAAGCGUCUGUAACCUGAAGCGUCUGUAACCUGAAGCUUAUGUAACCCGAGGUACCACUGUAUAGACAAAAGUUUCAUUCCCUCUUUUAUAACACUAGGGUUCCUGGGCAUCCAAUGAUGCUGAAUGUUGGAAGAUUCAAGACAGUCAAAAGAAAGUACUUCUUACCACAGUGCAUGGAAUUUGCUCCCACAAGAGGAUUAGACAAAUUCAUGUAGGAUAAGACUAUGAAUGGCUGCUAACCAUGUAGCUGUAUUCUCCCUCCACUGUCAAAGGCAGCAUGCUUCUGAACACCAGUUUCUCAAAGCCACAGGAUGGGAGAGUGCUGGGCUCAGGUCCAGGCAUCUGGUUGGCCAUUGUGAGAAUAGGAUGCUGAACUAGAUGGGCUGUUGGCUUGAUCCAGCAGGCUCCUUUUAUGUGUGUUUGUGUGUGUGUAAAAGCAUCCUAGAGCAAUGGGGACUCCAUGGCAUUCAAUAUGUUGUUCAACUCCAACUCCUGUCAGCAUGAUUCAAGAUGGUUAAACUACCUGAGAGUAGUAUCAUUCAUCUCAGGGUACUUUGGACAUCAACGUGGGCUAAUGACAGCCUGCUGGGCAAGAAUUUGAAAUCAUGGCCCACCACAAACAAAAAAAGUUGUAUUAGUUGAGAUGCAAGCUGGGAAUCUUCAGCCUAAAGGAUUGAUAAGGUUUGACUUCAUAAUUGUUGCAAUCUACCAUAGUUAGUCAUGUUGACACCACACUCUUGCAUCAGUUGACAAGACGAGACGAGACACAAUAGCUACAAAUUGUGAGGCCAGAUUAUUUGCAUGAUAGACUACAUUAAAAUAGGAAGCAGAAGUAAAUCUAACAAGCAGUGUUGACAAUGGUCAUGGUGGGAAGAAGUUUUGUAGUUUGACUCUUACCAAUUAAUAUUUAAUUCCAUGCCUCAGAAAACAUAAUCAAAGUUUUUAUGCGUUCCAAAUUGGUUUGGCCUGGAAGACUGUUGUGUGGUUUAAACACUAGCAUGACUGUAAACACAAAGCAAUGAUGAACCAUACUAUGAGGAAUUGGAAAAAGCUGUGUACUGGGAUACCAUCGAGUUUUCUGUUUACUGCCUUCUCUGGAUUCCUUUUUUUUUUUUAAGAUAAACAAAUCCAGACAUAGAUCAGUCCCUUAGGUCUGUUUCUUGCACAUAACAGAAUGCAGGGAGCUGCCUUUUACACAUAGAUUUCUUUAUUACUAUUCUGUAGCAUUUCAAAUCCACAGAAGAGAUAAACAGAGCCACAAAUACUUAACCAGUUCAAAGUAAAAGCCUGUGCACUCUAUCUGGGGUGACAUUUGAGGCUGCUUCGGAAUAUACAUUGAAUGCAAAAAGCUGUAGCUAGAAUGUAAUUAAAGCACCUUACAUGUGAUGACAAUGUGUGUGAGGAGCUGCAUUGCCUAGGGAUAUACUACCUAGGUAGGUGCAAGUCUCUUGAACUGAUUUAUAAAGUCCUAUUUUGGGACCAGAUUCUCUAAGGGAGUACCCUCUUCCAUAUCACCUGGAUUAGACAAUGAGGUCAGCAAGAGAGGGCCUGUCUUUUGUGGCACCCUCUCUAUGGGACUAACUACCUCUGAGUUAUGAAAGGUAUUGAUACUGAUAAUAUUUCAGCACCUUCUGAAAACUCAUUUUUUAGCAAACUUUUUCUGAAAGUUAGUAUCAGUUGAUUCUAAAUUUGUUGUGGUGUGUUACUGCUGUUUUUUUAAAAAAUCAUAAUUGUAUAUGUGCUGGUUUUAAUUGUGAUAUAUUUCUUCAUUUAUUUAACAAAAUGUUUAUGUUCUGCAAUCUCAUAAAAAUAGAAGAGUAUAACAAAUAUCUGUAGUAUAAAGCCACAUUUAAAAAAACAAAACCACAGUUCACCAGCUAACUGUGACAGAAAUAUACCUUACUGUGCAAUCUGCAUAAGCCAAACAGCAUAGAAAAGUUAUCAGCAAACAUUUAAAAAUUAAUACUGAAGUCACCUGCUGAAUAUCUAUUGGCAGGGUAUUCCACAAGACCAGGCCAAUAACAAUGAAGGAUCAGUUUCGUGUUAACAUUAGAUGAGCCUCACCAAUUUGGAGGACAACAUAGUUGUUCCUACAUGUGAUAUCAGUGCUAUUUUGUUGUAUGUUGUAGACCACUUUGGGAAUUUAAAGAAAAGCAGUAUAAAAAUAGUUAGUUAGUUAGUUAGUUAGUUUGAAUGAAUGCUUUCGAAAUUGCAGUCUAAAAGAAUAAAACAAGAAAAAUACUCUUAGUGGCACAUUCUCAGAUAGAUAGAUAGAUAGAUAGAUAGAUAGAUAGAUAGAUAUUUCUAUUUAAAAAUCAUUGUCUUUGACUUCAGUGAGGCUUACUACCAGGUAAGUAAAUGUAGCUUUGAAGGAAAAUAUAUAAAGCCACACUAAAAUGCAAUAACAGAAUACUAGGUACAAAACCAAAUCUGGAAGCCACGUCUCAUAUGAGCGCAGCUUCAAAAGAACCAGUGAUAACUCAUGCCCUCCAGUGGCUUCACGGUUCCCUGAAACCAUGAUCUACUUCUACCAUUGGAGGCAGUAUGGUUCUGAAUAUCAGUUGUUACGAAUCACAGCUGAGGAGAGUGCUAUUAUGCUCAGAUUCUGCUUGCAGAAUUUCCAUGGGUGUCUGGAUGGCCACCGUGAGAACAGAAUGCAGGACUAGAUGGGCCUUUUUAUGGUCUUAUGAACCAUAAAGUCAUCAAAAUACUUGACCUCAAUAAGAAGACGACAUGUGAUGCUUUUUUCCUGUGCAUACUUUAGCAACAGUUAUCCAUCACUACAUGUCAGGAAGUAAAACAACCUACCGGAAAAUUCCAGAGAGAACCAUCAAUCCAUCACCUAACUAUCAUCUUGUUUAUGGGAAGCACAGAGCAUUAAGUCAGCCUUGACUCAAUUUUGGCAAUGUGAAAAUAGUCUUUAGGCUUGAACUUUGCCAUAUGUGGCCAGAUUCUCCUCACAUUCAGAGAAAAUCCAGUGGGGUCAAAGGGGCUGCUUAGUGAUUUAAGAAUAUAUACCAAAUGCCCAUUCUUGUGAUUUGUGAUCCACAGUAGGCGACUGAUCAUGCAUGUGAUUUCCAAUGAAACUCUGACCACUAAAUCAUUUUGUUACUCUUUUUUAUUUUACUUUGUAGCUGUUGAGCAUCUCUUUCAACCUGGGCAGAGUGUUCCUUCAUUAAAUUUCCUCAGUAUAUGAACUACAUACAGACAUUCAGUCCAGAUCAAAACAAUCAUAAAACAAUGUCUUUGUAGUCUCUACCAAACUGUUUUAAUAUUUUUCUUUGAUAUCCGUUUUUCCGAAAGCUGCACACUCCCACGUGCUGAUAGAUAUAAAUGUAAUUUCCUUCUAAAUUUCUUCUUUUGUUUCCAAGAUCUGAAGAAAAAUAUUUUAAGACUUUUUAUAACAGAACUUGAAAAGAAGAUUGCAUCAGUCAGAACAUAGUAUGAUAUUUCAAAUAAGGCAGUAUAAAUUGUGCAUAUGUUGAUUUUACAGAUGGUGCCUACAAAAGGUGCCAAUUAGUUUGGAAGGCUACAUGGAAUUUUUGAAGAUGGCACAAUUGACUGAUUUCAACAGACACACAAUGUUGUUCAUUUGUAUUUCAUUAUCUGUUUGGAGUACUAUAGAGGGGCAGUCUUAAUCCUACCCUACAAGCCAUCACACAGAACUAUCUAACCAACCUGGUUGCAUGUAUCUGGCUGGCUUUCAGCACUCAAUAUUUUAAUACGGAUAACUGUAUUGCCAUAUCAUGUAAGACAAUCAUUAUCUUGAGGAAAUUAGGGUGGUGCCCAGCAACUGCCCCCCUCAUGCCUGGAUAAUACCUGGAAAUCCUGCGGAUCUGGGCCUUUGAGUGGUUAAUUCUACUUAUUCCAUAAAGUGGUAGCAUCUCAUACUUAGUUAUGCUAAGACAGCACUGUGUAAGAAUUGUGACCUUCUAGAUAAGUUUCCUCAGGGAUCUCAUGCUGACACCUGCUAUAGGGAGUAUCAGACAGGCCUGGAAGUUAUCUAUGUUGACUUCCUGCCAAGUAUUAACAUUUUACUCUGAUGAGAAACUGAUGUGUCAUCCAAACACCAGGUGUGGCUUAUGUAACCAAACUGUAUGAAGUGGUCUUUCACUUUUUUGGGAAUGGGUCGUCUGUGAUUUAUGUAAAGGGAUAAAAAAAACCCUAGAACAUCUCUGUUAGCUGGAACCUCAGCACAGGCUAACAUCCAAAUUUCCAUCUCCUUAUUCAUGGUUGAAUAAGGGGUCCUCUGACAAUGUAAAGGGACAUAAGAUAAGAGCAGUGCUUUGUAGCUUUCUUUGGGCUAAUAGAAUUUUCAUCCCAUCUGAGUGUUCAUUGUGCUUCACAUUCAUAAAGAACCAUUGGCCCUUGGGUAACACAAUAGUAAUACUAGAAGCUGUCUUUCAUUGAGCCUGACUGUUAGUUCAUUUACUUCAGUGUUGCCACCAAAUGGCAGAAGUGACUCUCCAAAAUUUCAGACAGGAUUCCUUCCCAGUCCCACCUGGAGAUUACAGUCUGACCACAGAGUUUAAAUAUGAACAUUCAGAGUGCUGUUGCAUGGGGCUAAAAUUGCAGCUGUUUUGCUUUCACCUCUGCUUCUUCUGUACUGCCAGGACCUAAGACCUUAGCAUUACGUUCAAGCUUGGGUUUCACUCUCCUUGAACUAACAAUGAGCUGUAACCAGUGUUUGUUCAUAAACAAGGUUUGUUCUGGAGUUUCUGGGUUAGGGUGAUUUCCCUCCCUUUAAUCUUUUGUUCCACAUUUUUCUUUGAGUUGAUGAGGAGGGUAGACUUUCGGAGUCUACCCUGGUAAGCCCUUGACAUGCCCAUUCCUCACCACUACUCCCAGCAGCAGCAGGAACAACAACAACAACACCUUUAUAUAUACAGUGGUACCUUGGUACUUGAAGAGCUUGGUUCCCUAACAAAUCAGCUCCCGAAUGCUGCAAACCCAUCCGGUUUGCUGACGUUUUUUGGAAGCCAAACUUCCAACAUGGCUUCCACAGCUUCUGAUUGAGUGCAGGAAGCUCCUGAAGCCAAUCAGAAGUCAGCCUUGGUUUUCGAAUGGUUUCGGGAGUUGAACGGACUCCUGGAAUGGAUUAAAUUUAAGAACCAAGAUACCACUGUGUGUUUGUAUAUAUAUAUACACACACACCCUGACCAUCUGGCUGGGUUGCCCCAGACCUCUGUUUCCAAGUGGACUGAGUCUCAGUCUCCCUGGAAACCAGAACUUUAUUUUUACUGUUAGGGCUUAAAAAAUCCAUCCAAAUGCAUUCUUCAGUUAUUUAGAUUAUGCAAUCCAGAUAUUUGUUUUGAUUUCCCAUAAUUGAUCUCACAUUGGUCUUAUCCUAAUUGAUAUCACAUUAGCAGGGCUUUUUUUUUCCAGCUGGAACUCGCGGGAUCUCAUGUGCCAUGUAAAUGGAAAUGUAUGUUCACACUUGAAGCUUAUACAUCAUGAAAAAGAUGUACAUUACACAUAAUGUGUAAUGUACUUUAUUACUGCAUUUUGGUACUCUUUGCUGCUAGCCUGAUAUGAAACCAGAUUCUACUAACUCCAUUGAAAUAAACACAUGGAAGAGUCCUGGAAAGUUCUUUAAUAAUAAUAAUAAUAAUUGCAGGAUCUAGCAAAUCAAGACAUUGGUAAAGGUAAAGGGACCCCUGACCAUUAGGUCCAGUCGUGGACGACUCUGGGGUUGCGGUGCUCAUCUUGCUUUACUGGCCGAGGAAGCCGGCGUAUAGCUUCCAGGUCAUGUGGCCAGCAUGACUAAGCCGCUUCUGGUGAAACCAGAGCAGUGCACGGAAAUGCCGUUUACCUUCCCACCGGAGCGGUACCUAUUUAUCUACUUGCACUUUUAUGUGCUUUCGAACUGCUAGGUUGGCAGGAGCAGGGACCGAGCAAUGGGAACUCACCCCGUUGUGGGGAUUCAAACCACUGACCUUCUGAUCGGCAAGCCCUAGGCUCUGUGGUUUAACCCACAGCACCACCAUGAGCCAAAUCAAGAGUCUCUUACUCUGAAGUAGUCCACUAGGGCAACUUGCUACUGAACUGGCUGUUCAGUUAUUCAAAUGUAAAUGAGGACAUCUGCUUAAAUCAUCAUAGUACAGGGAAUGACACGCCUUUGUAAUCUCUCUCUUUCAAAAACAUUCUUGGCAGCGCAGAAAUGUAUUUACUAUCUUGCUUGACUACUGUAUGCUGGUGAUCUUAAAAUUAUCUUUAUUGCACAGUGAAUGCAAGAUUAUCUAUGCUUCUUUCACAGGCAGGCUAAGAGUGCAGUCCUAACCCUCCUGAUCAGUGCUUCUGAGUUAGAAUAUAGCAGGUGUCAUGCCUAGGCACCAGGCUCCACUGUUGAGGGUGUGGAUGAAAUUAUACCACUGGUGGUAUCUCCACUGACAGUAACCAGUAUAGGUCCCCAAAAUAGGGUGUUAUGGGGCUGGGGUAGAGCAGAGUCAGCCAUGAAUCUGCUGGAUCCUAAACUAAUCCAUUCCCCUUAGAACAGGCUUCCUCAAACUUGGCCCUCCAGAUGUUUUGAGACUACAAUUCCCAUCAUCUCUGACCACUGGUCCUGCUAGCUAGGGAUCAUGGGAGUUGUAGGCCAAAAACAUCUUGAGGGCUGAGGUUGAGGAAGCCUGCCUUAGAAGGCUAGAACUUGGAGUUAGAGCAGCAAAAAUGAUAGAAAUGGUCCUCCCCUUUGCCCUGUGUGUUGCGAACAGGUAGGCCUUCAGAUGCAGCAGUCAAACUGCUGCUCCACCCUGGUCUUCCUGGCUGAGAGAUUCCUCUUCCUUACUUCUGUAUGUAGCAUGUUUUUCAACCUGAGGGCUGCAUUCUCUUCCAGGCAACCUUUAGGCAACCACCAUGCCAGAAGCAAAAGUGAGUGGAGAAACAAAUGUUAAUUUGCUCACACGUCCCUCUUUUUCCUUCAUCCAGGCAAUGAAGAAGUAUUGUCACAGUUCAAUGGCAUAUUCUAUGCAAAAACACACAAGGAGUGUGAAAAGCAGGACUAGUGAGGGGUGUGGUCUGGAAAGAAGGGGCACGGUGAAGGAGGGUGUGUGGCCUGGGACCACAUUCUGAGGGACACAUAGAGAGGGCAGGAGAUCAAUAUUUGGGCCCCAGGCCUGGGUUUCCCUUUUCUUGGUCUAUAGGUUUGCACUGCUCCUGUUUGAUUUAAAGUUGAAGAAAAGAUCAGCAGCAUUCCAAACCUCACAUGGCUCAAGUAGCUUCAGCAAUCAAUAUCUGACAGUAAAAAAUUUUCCAUGUUUGCAUUCCUGCUUCAGUCAUUCCUGUUUCCUGGUAGAAUUUCCAGAAGGUUGAAACAGGAACUACCUGACUGCCAUUGCUGUGCUUUCCAAAUUAUUGGCAGCGUUAGCUGAAAUGUUCCCAAGAUUAUUUUUAAUAUUCAGUCUAACUGAUUUCUGGAAGAAUACAGUUAAGUACCUGCUUUUAUGCAAUAGUUGACAUAGCAAGGCUUCGCUGCGGUUUGGCCAGAAUGCCAGAAUAAUGAAGAUGGAAACCUGAGUCUGCUGCCUGAGAGAUUGCACUGGUUCUCAAAAACACUGAAGUGGCUCUUUAGAGUACAAUAUAAUAUUGACUUUUAAUAUAAUGUUCCUAUUAAGAACCAUUUCUUACAGAUGGCAGAUAUCGUGAACCUGUGGAGUCCUGCAAAAAAAGACAGAAUCCAGCUCUACCAGUCGCUUGAUGGUUUGGUCACAGAAACAAACUGCUUGCUUUACAAUCCAAUGUGUGUCUGAUUGGAAAUAAACCUGACUGAAUUCAAUGGGACUUGCUCCAGGUAUGUGUGUAUAGAACUGCAGUCUUAAGCACUGUUCUUGAGUAAACUAUAAUGAAAGGGGCAAGGCUUUUAAAAAAUGUGUUAUGGAAGGGGUUAUUGGGUUGUUGUUUUAUUUUGAUUAUUAUUAUUUUGAUUAUUUAUUUUGGCCCGAAUAUAAGCCGCACCUGCAAAUAAGCCGCACCUUUAAAAUUCAUGGGGGGGGGAGACAAUAGCCAAGUACGGGUACCAUUCCCCCCAUGCUCCCAGGCUGCUUCCUGAGGGGGGGGACUAUGACGCUUUGUUGGCAGCCUUCCCCCUUCUUUUUGGCAGCUCUGGGGAGGCUUGGGAGCGGCAGGUGGGCUGUGCGUCGUUGCCCAAUGCUCCCGGGCUGCUCUCGGGGGGGGGGAGCUGCGCCACUUUGCUGGCAGCCUCCCCCCUCAUUCCAAUGGCUCAGGGGAGGCUUGGGAGUGGCAGUCAGGCUGGGUGCCAUUGCCCCAUGCUCCCAGGCUGCUUCCUGGGGAGUGGGAGCCAUGCCACUUUACCGGCGGCGUAAGGUCAUGAAUAUAAGCCUCACUUUAACUUUCCACAGUUGGAAUUGGCGGGGGGGGAGUGCGGCUUAUAUAUGAGCCAAUACGUUAUGUAUUUUGUGGUUUUAUAUUCUGAUUUUAUUCUGUGAACCUCCCUGAGACCUGCGGGUAUAGGGUGGUAUAUAAGUUCAAUCAAUCAAUCAAUCAAUCAAUAAUAAAAUAUAUGAAAAUUAUAGAAAAUAAAUAAAUAAAUCAUUGUCCAUUACAACUACUGUGCUUUUGUGUUGUAGUAAAGAGACAUGGAGAAAUAGUGAUCAAAAUAAUCUAUUUUCUGGUGGCUGAGGUGGGGGAGGGAAUAGAGAUUAGAUGCCCUACACUCAGCACACAUCAGUGAAGGUGACAGAUCAGUGUUUUUCUUUGCAAGUAAAGAUUAUUAUGAUUUUUAUUUUUUAAAAACUUUUCUCCAGCAGAUUCAUUACCUUAGCUUACCCCAAUACCAUAUUCAUUGACUGAGCUAGUGAAAUGUACCAGACUGGAAAAAUACACACACAUUUAUUUUCCUUGACUGGCUACUGCUUCUUUGCUUCUUACUCACCAGGAGCCAGAUUUGUCUUGAGGCAACGUCUAUUCCCAUUGAAGGAGCCAUAAAGUUUACUACCGCCAAGCAGUGACUUGCUCCAUUUAAACAUGAUUCAUUGGGAAGCCUGUUUUGCAUCAGUUAACAUGCAACAUUCACACUUUUUGUUAGGGGGGAUUCACUGCUAAGUUAUGUAACUGUCCCACUUUGGUGAGACAACUUCUGGAGUCACGAACCUGUUCAGGCACUUAACAAAUGUGUGAAGGUACACAGAACAUAAAGGGGCACUGGAUAGUACAGGUGCUGUCCCUAAUGUCCUCUUCUACUCCACCUGACCUUCCUUCACUGAAUGGAAAGAUCUGAAGAGGGAUUCCAAGCAGAUACAGCUGCAUUGACUUAGAAGACUUCCCAUGACUAUGAACCCUGGUAAUGCAGGGUUCCUGGCCACGGUGAAGAUGCUAAGCAUAUUCCUCUGAGUGGGUGAGGAAUCCCUUCUCAGAUAUUCUCACUCAGUACUGGAAAAUCUGCAGGGCCACAAUUUCUACAUCCCUGAAACAGAGGAUAGCUUUUCAGAAAAUCCUACAUUGUCUAUAGGCAUUGUUAAGCUUUUCUUCCAAGCAGGCCUGUGCUUGUUGUAAGUACAGGAACCAUUUCUCACAAUGUUUGCCAAGACUUGCUGCCCCAGAAAAGAAAAGACCUGGAUGGGUGAACCAACAUCUGUGCCAAUGCAAUGCCACAAGGCAUGAUGUUCUGCCCCACAGGAAUGUUGCAACAGCACUGCAAGCAACAGUGCCUAGGUCAAUAUGGAAGACCAGCAUGUGCAGAUUCUGUAGUUGCAAAUGGCUCAUGGAGCAGAAUUCAUUAAAAUGUUCCCUCGUGAUUAAGUUGCAUCUGAAAGGAAAGGCACAGGAAAGUGUUUUCCUGGCUCAGACCCCAUCACCUCAGGUCCCAGAAGAAGAAAGAUAUACAGAGUAGACUGUUCAGCUGGUUGCAACAGGAACAGGAGUGAAGCAACAUGAAUCAGUAUCUGUGCUACAGUCGAUGGUGAGAACAAUGGAUGUGGUGAUCAUGAGGAAGCAUAAAGUCAAAAGAAAAUGUGAUCGACAACCAGAAAAAGUGGGGAAUAGACUAGGGACAGUCUGGAAAAGGUUGGAAAAGAAAGGAAGAAGAGCAGAUUCAGGGGAUAAAAAGAAUUUCAAACCAUACUUGGGGAAAGUCUUGAAGCUUGCACCUUGCUCUAGAACAAGUGGAGACUUAAUAGUCUACAGUAAUAACCUGCUGGAAUGGACAUCUCAGCAAUUCAUCAUAUUUCCCCAGUAACAUUGAUAUAAGAGACUCUCCUACAACAUCUCCACCUUUUUACUCAUUGUGUUCACUUAUGCCAAUUUCUUUGACCGAACAGACAGUGCUACAUAUUGAGGCUAACUUCAGGCAUCAUCAUUUAGUAAAGGUUAGUGAAACACUAACAGAAGUGCCUGGUGUGCUCUGGUCCAUGGGGUCACGAAGAGUCGGACAAGACUAAACGACUAAACAACAACAUCAAGUGAAACACUUAGGACAGCAUUUACAAUUGUUUCCAAUUUCAUCUAUAAAACCUACCGCACAUCCCACCCAUUACGACUAUCUCCAGGGCCAGCCAUACUGUUACUAAGUCUCCUCCCAUGACAGAUGCCAGGGGGCGGGGGUCAAGAACUGGUAGAGAACAGAGCUGUGUGUGCCACAUAGCCUGACCUGCCCCUCUUAAGACAAACUGCUGUCUGUAGGUGCAGUGAGGAACAAUGUCCUCUAGCCAGCACUGAAGUAAGGCCCCAUCUACGCCAUACAUUUGAAAUGGAAUGGGAACACUUUAAAUAGCCAUGGCUUCUCCCGAACAAUCCUGGAACUGCAGUUUGUUAAGGGUUGAGAGACUCAUAGAGAAUUGCUAUGUGACCCCUAUUCCCCUCAGAAAGCUCAUUCUUCUUCUUCGUCUUCUUCUUCUUCUUCUUCUUCUUCUUCUUCUUCUUCUUCUUCUUCUUCUUCUUGUCAUAUUUAUAUUCCUCCUUCUCCCCAAGGCAGUUCAAUACUCAUUCAAUCUGUUUAACAUUCAAUCUGUCUUGCUAAGGAACUCUAAAAAACUCUGUGGCUCUGUGGAUGGAAUAGAGGUCUCCUCAUAACUCUCAGCACCCUUUACAAACUAAAACUCCCAUGAUUCUUUGGGGGAAGUCAUGCAUGACACCACCUUCAAUGUAUAGGGCAGAUGGGGCCUAAGAUUCAACGGCCUGUCUAGUAUGUGGAGUGGAAGGUGUGGAGUGCCAUCUUGUCCACCUCAGAAAACAAAAUGGCUUGACCUGGGCUGCUCCUGGCUGUCUUUCUCUAGCUGUCUUACUGUCAUAUAACAGAAAGGGCCUCCCCUGAAAGCAUGUAUAAUUAAGCAGUUUCUAGAGGAAUGGAGAAUGUUUUUCAAAUCAUUGCUAUUUCAAUGACAGCCUUUAAGCGUAUUGUUUCAAGUCUUGAUAUCCAGCAGGCCAACUGCUGUUCCUAUGGCCUGAAAUGAUAUACACAGAUGUGGCUCCUCCAACAUAUUAGUCAACCAAAAAAAUGUUCUUAUUUACAGGAAACACAUUUUAUCCAGGGAAGCAACAGAGAAUAAAAGAACAUGCCGAAGUUCAACGCUAUGAAAUGGGAGGAGACACACAGUAGUUGUUAAUGGGGAACAUGCUGUGAGAUGUAAGAUGUAUAUAUAUUUUCAAGGAAGGCAGUUUUUCUUCCUCCUUUCCAUAUCUCCACAGAGCUAAGAAACAUUGUUCCCCAGUUCUCUGAAUAAAUUACUAUGACUAUGCAUGAAAGGUACAGACAGCUAGCUCAUUGCCUUUUGGGAUUUUUUUUCCUGACGUGUUUUUUAACCAAAUGAACAUGUGGCAACAGCAUAAAAGAGUAAGUUUGAAUUCCAGAGAUUCUGUUAAACCAACUGAUCUACUCAGAUAGUUUGGAAAGGUACCAAACUGACAGAUGGGUUCCAAAACAACAGUUUUUAAUUUGAUUAAUUAGAUCACUUUUGAAAAGAAAGGAGGGGAAAGGCUGCUCAAGUUAAUUUCCUGAUUUCCAUAAUCUCCUCUCGAAUAAAGGAGGACAGCUGAGGAAAUAGCCUAGAUAAAUAGAACAACUAUGAUGCAAUAUUGUAGCAGAAGAAAGAGAGGUCAGAUUUGUAGUGAAUUCAGAUUUUAUGAGUUUUUGUUUUUUAAAGCGGUGAGCACUUAAUGUUUCAGAAGAGGUGCAAAACCUAUUGAAUACAUGGAUGCAUGGAAAAAUUUCAGUAAUAUCUGAAUGGCCAGGGGUUCGCCAUUCCUGCUGUAAUGGAAAUCAAAGCAUCUUUAAGAAGUGAUGUCAACUAGAGGAAAAGAGUGUUUUAAGUACAUCUUAAGAAGGUGUGUGUGGCCGGCUAGCUUGGGGAGUAGGAAGCUAAAUAAAGCUUGUUUGUUGAAAAUAUUGACAAGAAAAUGGGACUUGAGCCAACUCAUCAAAUCACAACUUAUUUCCCGUGAUGCUGUCAAAGCUGUCUCUCAGUCUUGCCUGCAAGCAGUUGUGCAGAAGACUUAAUUUGUGACCUGUGCUCUCCAGUUAUAGAACUGUAAUAGUCAGGAGGAAACAUUCCAUGUUGAUAGCAGCACUUUGAGAUGUUAUGCUCCCGGGAACUGCUGGCAAGUUCCUGUCCAUGGACACUCCCAAGUCACACAGCUAAGGAUGAUUCAGUUGGCAUUUUAAAGGAAACCCACUUAAUUCGCACUUUGCGAAACAAUAAGUGAACGAAAAAUGGUAUCUAUCAAAUCUGAAUUUUGCCGUGCAGUUCUCCAGUUAAGUAAGGUGCACAAACCAAAAGUCCAGGUUGACAUACAAAGCCAAACCAUGGCUUAGCACAGAAGAGGAAGAAUUACAUAAAGAAUGGAGACUCCAUGAGCCUUUUCAGGAACCCUCAUGCUGAUCUGUUUGUUCUAAGCUAUGGUGUGGCUAAGUGCUACAUGCACACCAGUUCUAUGUAUUGAUUUCAUUAUUCAUGGUAUAAUUGACUCAGCUGCCAUUGCCAACAUUUGUGAUUUUUAUCUGAUAUCCAUUCAUUUCACUUCUUCUGGAGAUUCAGCACUGGCUAUCUUUACUGUUGACAACUCAGCUAGAACUUUUCUGUUUGAACCAGGGAGCACAUAUAAAACAAUGACUGCAUUUUCUGAUGGCUCUUUAGUGGGUAAGUUUAAACGAGAAAUGUGUUUGGGCUGAAUCCAUAUUACAUUUUUUUAAAAAAUGAGUUUCUAGUAGACCCCUUUCUUUUGUGAAACAUUGUUCAAUAGUUGUUUCAUUAUUUCAAAAUUGUAGCAGUGGUUGGAAUCAACAUGCCUAUUGGUUGGGUAUACCCACUGGGAUUUUUGGGUCUCUGCCUUUGAACAGCUGACUUCCCUGGCUGCCAUGCCACAAACUGCUUUUCAAAGUCCCCUCAUUUUCAAAGGUGGUAUGAGGUUGGUUUUUUGGGGCUGGAGGUGAUGUUUAAGACACAGAAACCCAAAGCCCCCUUGGCUUUGAAUAACUGCCUUUCUCUCUCUCGUUCCUGCCCAGUGGCUUUUAAUUUUAUUUUAUUAUUAUUUUUUAGAAAUGGGAGAGUACAAAUAAGGCAGGAAUUUCUUUGAGGAACUAAAUGAACAAAAUUGAGGCUGUGCCAUAGCACCAUGGGCAUGAAUAGAAGAUAUUGCAGGUGAACCACAAGCCUAAUGUCAAUAUUUAAUAGGGGCAAACAAGUCACUCCUACUCAUUCAACAGCACAAUUAAUUCAGAAAUCUGUCAACAGAGGUAUAAAAGGAAUGCCAUUCUACAUGGUUCGGGGGGGCAGUUUGCCAAAUAAAUGUUUGUUUUCCACAGGAUAUGGACAAUCUAAUAUUUGUACAGGAUUUCGCGUAUUAAAAUCCUUAAUGUUAUGUUGAAAUCGCCAUCAUAAUCCAAAUAGCUUAACAAACAAAAAUGGGGAAAUGGAGUAAUCAGGGGAUUCUAGUGAUAAAAUCCACUUCGAUUCAGCAACAAUGUUCUCACACGAGAGCAUGUAAAAAAUGGGAUAUCCUGAUGGGGACAGGAUCUCUCUUUCCUCCCCAGGAACCCAAAGGGUGGCAAUAAAGGGAGAGAGAAAAUAAAUAUGGUCCUUCUUAGAAUCAUAGAAUCAUAGAGUUGGAAGAGACCACAAGGGUCAUCGAGUCCAACCCCCUGCCAAGCAGGAUCUUGAGCAAUCAAGGAUCUUGAGCAAUCCUUUAGUUUACACAUACAAAGAUAGUUUCUACAGUAAUGUUAAAUACAGAACAUCUAAUUCUUUCCCCUGUUUUAUUUGUCUUCACCUCUUAUGAGUUGAUCUAGGAGUACUGAAAUUUACAGGCGAAGAAGUCCACAUUCAUUUAAAUAGGAUCUAGUGUUGUACAGUUAACAACCUUACAGUCUAUGAGAUCAUUGCUGGCAUGAAAAGUAAGGUAAAUAUGAUUACUGGAUUUGUGUAUAUAUAUCUCCUGUCUCUUUCCUUGUAUUUCAUAAUUCCUUAGGGUCUUGUUAUCCUAUGAUAGCUACACAUGUCCUGGGGUUACUAGCAUUUAUAUAUUUUCAUUCUAACAUCUGCCCUGUGGGCUUGGUUGCUGUGUUUAAUACCUUCCUCAGUGCCAGAUGGCUGGCCUUACUUUUUCACCAUGCCACUAUAAACCAUCCUAAAAGCAGAGAUGGUUUUAGGGUAGUGUGACAGGUUUGCCUACACUAGGCCAAGCUGAGAGGAGGUGCUGCAGGAGGUGCCACAACAAUGAUGAACAAUGGAAGGCGAGAGGCAGGAAACUCUGGAUUUUUGUGCCACACAGGGUGCCAAAGUCUGCCCCUGCUCCAAGGAUCUGUGCUCCUGACUUAUCUAAUGGAGCAGUCUUGAAGACAAUCCAUGAAACUGUUUUGCUGGAAUAGAAGCAUGAUGGAACUACUUCAGUGGUCUGUUAUUUACAGCCAGGUUCAGCCCAAGUGACUUUGAACAAGUUGUUCUCUCUCAGACUCAAUUACCUACAUGUAAAAUACAUCCAAUGUGAACAGUAAGCUCCCAUCUUAUAGAGGUUUGUUAGGCUACAGCACAGAAAGAUACCAAUAACUUCCAUGAUGAAUGUGUGCUAACAAAAACAAGCCAAAUAAACGUUCUUCGUGAUAUAGCCUCUGUGCACCACAACCCUCAAUCAUAGAAAGAAGCUACUGUAAGCCCUGCAGUUUUACCUUUACUGCACCUUAAUUUUUAGUCUUCAAUGAAGAUGCCCAUUACAUCAUUUUUACAUGCUUAAUUGAUCCUGAAUCAGUUGCCUAGAUAUACAAUGCUGGAUGGUUUAAGAUUAAACGUAUGUUGUAUUACUUUGAAAUAUUCUAAUGACUUCAUUUUAAUUUUUAUUCUGUUGGCAUGCAUUGCCUUGCCAUAAUUGAGUAUAAAUGGAAAUUAAUAUGCAAGCAAUUAUUAAAAUAAGAUCUGUGUCUAUUCACUUAAAGGUAAGCAAAAUACAGAUUGACAAGUUAAAAUACAGGUGGAACAUUGUUUUCUUGUACUAUAAAUUCCCAGGUGUUAAAUGGUUUGAAAAGUAGGAAAACAAAUUUGUAAGGUGGGAGUUGGGGAGACAGGAUCUGGCCUUUGGGGGGGGGACUAUAAGAAUUGGCUUACUGAUGCUGAUUCUUCCAAGUCGUGAAAUAAAUCCAGGAAGUGGGUUUCUCAGCUUACUAGUAGUUGUCAAUUCCAAAUAUAUCAGACUGUUUUAUUUUUCUUUGUUUACCCUCUCUGCAUUUCUUUUGCCAUCUUUUUCUAAAACAGAAAAUAUACAUGUCAGCUCCAAUUACUGCUGCUGUCGAAAAAUCUCCAGUUACAGCCAGUUGUAGAUUACUUUCUUAUGGCUGUGGGAUCAAAUUGUAGAUUAAUAGUAAUGGUGUGCUAUCCCAAGUCACUUGAUUCCAAGGUAUGUAUAACAAAAGCCAUCAUCACACACAGUGUCCUUGUCUUUAUAUUCUGCUGCAAAGUUUUAGCUCCCGGUAGUAAUGGCACUGCCAGUAGUGAUGUAUGGAAGUGAGAGCUGGACCAUAAAGAAGGCCGAUCGCCAAAGAAUUGAUGCUUUUGAAUUAUGGUGCUGGAGGAGACUCUUGAGAGUCCCAUGGACUGCAAGAUCAAACCUAUCCAUUCUUAAGGAAAUCAGCCCUGAGUGCUCACUGGAAGGACAGAUUGUGAAGCUGAGGCUCCAAUACUUUGGCCACCUCCUGAGAAGAGAAGACUCCCUGGAAAAGACCCUGGUGUUGGGAAAGAUGGAGGGCACAAGGAGAAGGGGACAACAGAGGACAAGAUGGUUGGAUAGUGUUCUCGAAGCUACCAACAUGAGUUUGACCAAAAUGCGGAAGGCAGUGGAAGACAGGAGUGCCUGGCGUGCUCUGGUCCAUGGGGUCACGAAGAGUCGGACACGACUAAACAAGUAAACAACAACAAGUAAUGGCACUGAAUUUCAUUCAAGCAUUUGUAUCCUAAAUGUCACAAAUCUCUCUCUCUCUCUCAAGCCUGUUUCAAAUUGUGAUCCUCUGAAAUUUGGACGUGAGUCUGAAUGGACCCCAAAAUGCCCAGCUCCUACCACGAGCCCUCAUCAUCCUGACUAUCCUCUUCCUUUGACAUUUAUUUAGUGGUAAAGGCUAGCAAAAGGUACUUCUGUAGGAUCUCUGUGAAACUGCAAGUACACAACAGCAUUCAGGGGCCACUGAGAACAAUGUGAAAUGCAGAGGUCCCUAGGUCACAUUGCACUGCCUGUAACAUCAGAAGCAUGAUGGGACCUUUGCUUAAAAUGCAGCCAAUUAAAAUGACUCAUAAUCUGAAGAUCAGUUACAAAAUAAAUCUUUUUAACUUUCUUCACUCCUAACCAGGCUUGGAGGGAGUCGUCAGGAGAGUUCUAGAGUUACUACAGAAUUCUGCCUUUUAAAAUCAAUAAAGGCUUUAAAAUGCCUGAGAAACCCUACAACUUGAUAACUUGACAGUUUAACCUGAAAGUGUUAAACUGAAUUUUCACACAAGUCUGCUUUCAAAUUCUUCAAAUGUAAACGAAGACAGAACAGUUCUAUAACAAGACUAUACCACCUCCAAAAAGGUUUGGCUCACUCAGUUUCCAAAUAGAUAGUAUUGUGAUCUAUUAAACAGAAAUGAGACAGAUCUGGUUUUCGUAACCCACAAUCCAAUUCAAAGGCAUCUAGCACAACACCUUUUGCACCUAUCCAUCUGAAAUUUGACAGUAUCCCUCUACAUGUAAAAGGCUACUGUGCCUACAAAAUUCAUCAAAUUAUGACAAAAUAUUUAUAAUGGCAUUUACCUUAACAAAAAAAACUACAAAAAUCAAGGGCUACUUGCACAUACGCAAACAACCCCCUCUGCACCUAUUUGUCUGACAUUUGACAUGCAUCAUCCACUUGGAAGGGGAUAUUAAGCCUGCAAAUUUCAGUCAGUUUUGCCACAAAGCAAAAAGUCCAUAACUAUGUGCUGAUUUCCUCUAAUAGUUAAUGGGGAGACAAGUGAGAUUCUGAUUCAGACCCAAUGUGUAGCUACAGUCCUCCGUAUGGGUCUGAGAAGAAUCAACCCACUUUUUGGAGCCCUCUAGUUUUUAUUUACUUGCAUUAAUACUUUUUAGACAGCUUUUAAAAAUGUUCAUGGUAGCAAAGAUACUUAACAAGCUUGCAAUAUGUUGCUCUUCCAUGCACAACAUGGAAGGGUUUAACCUAUCCAGGCUGCAAGGUGGCAACCUUAAGAACCAGCCAUCGAUUUCUAUCUACAGUGGUACCUCGGGUUAAGUACUUAAUUUGUUCCGGAGGUCCGUUCUUAACCUGAAACUGUUCUUAACCUGAAGCACCACUUUAGCUAAUAGGGCCUCCAGCUGCCGCCGCGCCUCCGGAGCACGAUUUCUGUUCUCAUCCUGAAGCAAAGUUCUUAACCCGAGGUACAAUUUCUGGUUAGCAGAGUCUGUAACCUGAAGUGUAUGUAACCUAAAGAGUAUGUAACCCGAGGUACCACUGUAUUCAGAGAAUGCAUUUAGCUAGUGAAGCUGAAUUCACACCAGCCAGUCAUGAAGACAGAUGAAAAUGCUAACAGCUGUUUGAAAAUUCAGGGAAGCACAUGUUCAAGCUCUGAACCACAACUUGGUUUUUUUGCCCACUGUGUCCCUUUUAAUUGAUGAAGUGACACAUUUAGAAUUUAAUUCCAACAUCAUUUCUGUAGUGAGUGUGUAAAAGUAAGAACAAGUUGUUCCAUAGAAGUCUGUGACGUUAAUAAUAAUGUGUUAAUUCAGGAAAUAGCAGAGGCAACAUUACAUUUCUCCAGAGGGAAACAACUUGAAAGAAAGGCAUGAAGGUAGAAGAGAAGUGAAAAAUCAACAUUAUGAAUAAUAUGAGUUUUCUAGACUUUGAGACUCCCUGCCUCAGGAUCAGGCUGCAUGCACAGAUCUAAGCACAACUUUGGUGCUAGAGAGAAAAUGCUGAUCAUGUGUUGGAGAAGAAGGAGAGAAAGGGAAACAUUUCCUCAUUCCUGUAUCAUUGGCACUGGAUUAGAUCCAGAGUUGCAUUUCCAAAAAUGGAUGGACACAUUGGAUUCAUGGAAUGGAUUGAAAUCCUGUAGAGGCAAUUCUUGCAGAUUCCCCCUCCUGCCUGCAGCAUCAUGCAAUUCUCCAGAGCAUAUUUUCAUGGGACUGCAAGGAGGAUAUAGGAAUCAAUAUCAGCCCCUUCCUUCUUUCCUAGCGAGAGCGCCCCAUGAGUUUAGCUUCACUCACAGGAAUUCUGGAUCCAAGCCACUGUCCCUAAUACUGCCAACCAUUUGUUUGGCAAUGUGUAUGGUGUGCAAAAGUGUCCAAUGUGUACCCCUUUGCGUGCAUGGAUCUAAUUUAGAACAGUGGCCCAUAAGCAGAAGCUAGUUUCCAUGCACAGAUCUCUUUUGCUGCACUGAAAUCUGACUCGGAAAUAUUUUUUUUGAAAGACAAAAAUACAAUUUCAUCGUGAUUUAAGUUAAUUCAAUAAGGUCCAGGAUCAACAUAUUCAAUACUUUUACGCUUUGUUUCUCCUCCCCUGCCCCCAGCUUCUUAAAUCCAACAGUACCCAUUGCUUGGGAAUGCUAUAAAAUUGAUCGUAAGGAAAAAAUGGAUUUUAUUUUUUAUUUUUUUACAAGCAAAUUGAAGCUUGUAGAGUUGGCACUAUAGGAAGCUGUGUAAUUCCUUUGGUAGGAUCAAACAAAGACAAUUGCCUGCAAAAUGUGUUGGUGUUGAGUGUUGCCUCUCAACCUUUCAUAUGUAAUCUAAAUGGUUUGUGACAACCAUAGUACCUGAUUUGCCAGCCUCUUUGAGUAAAAUAUUAGAAGUGUGGGUGGCAUGAAGUCUUCCAGGAAUUUGGAUAGUGGUGUAACAGAGGGGGCAGCUUUUACCUGUCUCAGAUCCUCAUGUAAAUGUGAAGCAUCACUGUAGUAUACCUUCGUGAUAUAAAGAGAGGACCACACCUUAUCUAAUCAGGACUCCAAAGUUGCUGUCUUUCAGAACAUCCCAUCUGUCAGGACCUCUGUACAUGCUCUGAAAUCCAAGACUCUGCUUAAGCAAGGAAAUUGUAAGUUGCUAAUUUAAACUGAGCUUUGUUUCUCAUUUGCAAGUCUAUGCAAGUGCAAUUUUGAUGCCUUUCCAUUUCCUUCCUUUCCCCCCUCCCUUUCUUAUUCUCUAGUAAAAUUCCAUAUGUUUUUACAUUUUCCUUUAUUGGUUUUUAAAAGGCUAUUUUCUGGAACUUCUCACUAAAAUCAUCCCCACAUGCUAGAUUGCAUGCUUGCAAAUCUACCUCUUUGCAUUCUAAGGAUAGUUCACAAGCUUUUCUUAAGUUCUGGCUUUGAGAAACUAAAGCUCUUCUCUUCUUUCUCUUCCUGCCCCCACCCCAAGCUGGACUGAGGCAAGUUAUUGGCAGUAAAGACACUCUCCAAGCAACUGGAUCCCUUAACUGGAAGCUGCCUAUCAUAAUUUUUGGGGAGGGGAAACCCUUGCAACAAUCUGCCCGCAUAAAAAUAACCAGAUCCGUCACAAAUGGAGGUCCAUUUGGAACAGAUUUUCACUUGCAAGGGGGGGAAAAACCCUCCUUUGCCAAUGGUGAUGGCAUGUGCAUGUGCAGAAUAGUUAUUUUAAUCCUGUCCUCCAGAUCAGUACGAUAAAGUAGCCAAGCACCAACCUGAAAAUAUAGUUGCAGAUCAAGUGACGCUCCUGCAGGAAACCGGGGGGGGGAGCAUUUUGGGAGCAGACAGGAGCCUCAAAAUGUGGAUACCAUCCAGCAUUCAGAAGGACAACUCACAACUUGAAUUGCAAAUAUGAGGCACCCCUAUUAUUAUCUUCCAGACAUUUUAAUAGGAUUUAUUCACAUAAUAAUUUUAAAAUUAAGAUUGGCUACUCUUUGUCGUGACAUUUCCUGAAUCAAUGAGACUCCCCUUCAUAAGUUUCUGUAGCUCAGCUUCUACAUUUCAAUGACUUCAUCCUGUGCUCCUUAUGUUGAAAACCACAUGCUAGGGGAAACAUGUGUAGGUCCUUCUUAUCUGAUCAUUGCUCCCCCUUCUUAGCUGAUCAACAGUUGGGUG